UCAUCUUUUUCGUAAGAGGGUUGAUUCAUGAUUCAUUUACGCCCCGACCAUCUGAUUAUACGCUUCGGUAGCUGUUGCUAGGAAUGUACACAAUUUCUUACCGCCUGUUUAUCUGUAUUUUGUAUAGGUAAAAGCAGCUGAGUAGCAAGUGAAGCAUACAUUUUCUUCUUUCUUUCUUUUUUGCGAGAUUCUUCUUCUUUCUUUUCUUAAUGUAAAACAAGAUAGAAUAAUACAAAUAUCAGUCCAUUCAAUUAUUGUAUUGAGCAGUUUUUUUUUUCCUAUCCAUUGUUUCUUUCCUGCUCUCUUCAGUUGAGUUAAAACAGUAACUUCAUCUCCUUCUCUAUCACAGAACCAUCCCUGGUUAGCAUAUUCUUUUCCUGUAACUUUCACCAAGGUUGUGGUUGAAAGUUUGGCGUUUUGAGAAUAUUGUUCUUUGUAGGUGUGAAGUGCUAGUAUUUCAGUACACGUGGUGCUCUACAGGUAGACGUGGUGCCUGUGCAUUUACCAACCCUGUAUAUCACAGGCACUGGCAGAAUUUGGUGGUGAAAACCGUCUCCUCUUUACCUCAUUUUUGGAUGGCAGAGUUGACGGUAAAAAAACGAAGUACAGAUCUAGCGUAUGUUAUGUGGAAGAAUUGACUUUGCAUAAGAGCUUCUAUCUUGACACAUAAGUUCAUUUCCCAAGCUCAUUGAAUAACUGAAAUUUGAAUGAGGACCGAGUGUUGCCAAAUUUGAAGACAAAGUGAUCGAUUUAUUAUCAUAGUAAUUGCUCAUCCAUUCAUGGUCAGACACACACAGGCAGAAGCCUUUCAUUUAUACUCCCUCCGUUCCUAAAUACUUGUCUUUCUAGACAUUUCAAAUGAAUAUCACAUACGGAUGUAUGUAGACAUAUUUUAGAGUUUAGAUUCACUCAUUUUACUCCGUAUGUAGUCACUUGUUGAAAUGCCUAGAAAGACAAGUAUUUAGGAACGGAGGGAGUACUACGGUGUGUCGGUGUCGCAUCAGAAAUGGCAGAUAGCCAAGCAAAUCGAUCAUCUUCUCUUACAAUUAGCACAUGAACCCUAGGUCUCUCACACCAUCUGAAACUACAGACAACAGACAUACCACCUUGUACACUUGCUUUUGUUAAUCAGAACCAGCGGCUGGCUACUGCCGUGCCUGGUUCUUGAGGUGCUGGAACAUCUUCUGUUUUAUCCACUGCCUGUCAUACGGCAAAAAAGCUUGGAGUUGAUGAUCAUACCUGCAGGGGCAGGCCACAUCAUGGUUAGUCGUUUUGCUUUUGUGAUUCAAUGCUUUGAAAGUUUAACGUGAAGUUGUACUCACACUAGCGCGCUGAUGUCCGCUAGGCCAUCGAUGAAAUUGUAGAGGUCGGUGAUGUCAUAAGUGAAGUUCCUGGCCAUCGGGUUGAUAUCCAUGAUUUUCUUUUCAUAACGGGCACAGAUACCUGUCGUUUACAAAAGAGCCCUGUUAACCAUAUUAAGAUCUACAAAGACAGUGGCUGAAGAAAUGAACAAAUACGCGGGACUUGCUUCAAUCAAAGAAAAGCAUCUGGUUGUCCAUAUGGAGAUCUACAAUGACGGUAGCUAAAGAAAUGAACGUAAAUAAGUGCAGUUGCAGUGCAGAUACGGUUUUGCUGUACCUACUGCAUUCCAGGAACCCACCAGUUUGUGUGGUGCUUAGUUCAUGGGUGAUCCGGGGAGGAAUCCUAGCUGGAGGUAAUGAUGAUCUUUUUGAAGUAGGUAACAUUUCAAAGCGGAGAUAUUUCCUUAGCAUGUAACUAUUCCAAAGGGACCUGAGGCCGCGCUUGGUAUUGGUGUAAUUUAAUACGGAAGUACUAAAUUUAUAAGUGUAUCUUACCGGACACAAGUGUUUUCCGGCUGGAAACAAAACCGGUGGGAGCAGACGUGUAUUUUUUACAGGUGUAUUUAAAAGAAAAACGGUAAUCCAAACAGGGCCUGAAGAAAAUGGGAGCUAAUUGUGGUGUAUGGUCCUGCUGAUCAGUUUGUAGAGGGGCUUGAAAAUAAAUCAGAGGUUCCAAUGUGCUCAUUGUUAUUGGGGUGAGGAGGGGGUUCAAUCUUAUUAGGGGGGCGCAUGAAAAAACUCGGAUAAUAUCAAUCAGAUAUUGAUUGAUCUGUUUAACUCUUCUAUUGCUAAUUUGAAUCUGAUAGUUAUCUAGGGGAGAAGCUAGAUUUACUUGGACUAACAAGCAAUUAGAUUAUGUUAGAUGUGUGUUGAAUAGAGUGCUGAUAUCUUGUGAUUAGGAGCCAUGUUUACCCUUUGUAACUUGCAAGCUGUGACCAGAAUUGGUUCCCUUUACCUCUAUCCUCUGAGUUAGAUGGUCACAAAAUGUUCUUUGAAAAACAAUGGCUACCAGAGGAGGGAUUUAAAGAUCGAGUUAUUUAUAAAUGGGGAGAAUUCCUAAAUCUGGCAACAUAGGAGGUGUAAUGCGUUGGGUGACUGGAACUUCUGUUCUAUUGAGCUUAGAAAAGUUCUGACGGAUUGGAAGCUAAUUUUGGGAGAGAAGUAAGAGUUAGGAAAGAUAGUGUUCUUGAUAGUUCUGGGCACUGCUGGGGAAUGGCAGCUUGCAACAGGAGUUGAUCGGUAUUUAUAAAGCAGAAGAAGCUUAUUGGCAGCAGAGGGGGAGAGGGAAAUGGAUUGUUCAACUCAGGGUGACUGUAAGACAGCUUACUUUCAUGCGGUGGCUAACGAAAGGAGAAGAAAGUGUUCUAUCUUUUCUUUAAUUCAUUGAUGGGGAAAAGGUGAUUAGUGCUAAACAGGAGCUCUCUGAGCAUAUCUGACUUCUACAAGAGACAGUUUGGGGCUGAACCUAGAGGCAGCAUGUCAUUGGCUGCCGAUGCAUGGGGAGAAAAUAUGAGAGUGGCUGAGUUUUUACGUUGGCUCGCCAAGCCUAUCACAACCCUCCUCCUUUACGGGGCUUGGGACCGGCUAUGUUGAGACAACAUAGGCGGACUCACACUUUCCCAAAAUGAUGAUGAUGUCCAGAAGGCGAUUAAAGAGAAGAAAGAUUGUUUCAGACACCUAUACCUGAAUAGGAGUGUAGACAACAUAGAGAAGUACAAAGAUGGUGAAGGAGGCCGCAAAGCGAGCUGUCAGUGAAGCACGGGAGUCGGGCAUAUGAGGACCUCUACCAACAGUUAGGCACGAAGGAAGGCGAAAGGGACGUCUAUAAGAUGGCCAAGAUCCGAGAGAGGAAAACGAGCGAUAUUGGCCAAGUCAAAUGCAUCAAGGACGGAGCAGACCAACUCCUGGUGAAGGACGAGGAGAUUAAGCAUAGAUGGCGGGAGUACUUCGACAAGUUGUUCAAUGGGGAGAAUGAGAGUUCUACCAUUGAACUGGAUAACUCCUUUGAUGAGACCAGUAUGCGUUUUGUGUGGCAAAUCCAGGAGUCUGAGGUCAAAGAGGCUUUAAAAAGGAUGAAAGGAGGCAAGGCGAUGGGCCCUAAUUGUAUCCCCAUUGAGGUGUGGAAAGGCCUCGGGGGCAUAGCGAUAGUAUGGCUAACCAAGCUUUUCAACCUCAUUUUUCGGGCAAACAAGAUGCCAGAAGAAUGGAGACGGGGUAUAUUAGUACCAAUCUUCAAGAACAAGGGGGGUGUUCGGAGUUGUACUAAUUACCGUGGAAUUAAGCUGAUGAGCCAUACAAUGAAGCUAUGGGAGAGAGUCAUUGAGCACCGCUUAAGAAGAAUGACAAGAGAGACCAACAAUCAGUUUGGUUUCAUGCCUGGGAGGUCAACCAUGGAAGCCACUUUCUUGGUACGACAACUUAUGGAGAGAUAUAGGGAGCAAAAGAAGGACUAGCAUAUGGUGUUCAUUGACUUGGAGAAGGCCUAUGAUAAGAUACCACAGAAUGUCAUGUGGUGGGCCUUGGAGAAACACAAAGUCCCAGCAAAGUACAUUACCCUCAUCAAGGACAUGUACGAUAAUGUUGUGACAAGUGUUCGAACAAGUGAUGGACCGCAUCAGGGGUCAGCUUUGAGCCCUUAUCUUUUUGCCUUGGUGAUGGAUGAGGUCACAAGGGAUAUAGAAGGAGAUAUCCCAUGGUGUAUGCUCUUUGCGGAUGAUGUGGUGCUAGUUGACGAUAGUCGGACGGGGGUAAAUAGGAAGUUAGAGUUAUGGAGACAAACCUUGGAAUUAGAAGGGUUUAGGCUUAGUAGAACUAAAACCGAGAACAUGAUGUGCGGUUCCAGUACUACUAGGUGUGAGGAGGAGGAGGUUAGCCUUGAUGGGCAGAUGGUGCCUCAGAAGGACGCCUUUCGAUAUUUAGGGUCAAUGCUGCAGGAGGAUGGGAGUAAUUGAUGAAGAUGUGAACCAUGGAAUCAAAGCCAGAUGGAUGAAGUGGCGCCAAGCUUCUGGCAUUCUCUGUGACAAGAGUGCCGCAAAGGCUAAAAGGCAAGUUCUGCAGGACGGUGGUUCGACCCGCAAUGUUGUAUGGCGCUGAGUGUUGGCCGAAUAAAAGGCGACAUGUUCAACAAUUAGGUGUGGCAGAGAUGCGUAUGUUGAGAUGGAUGUGUGGCCACACGAGGAAGGAUCAUGUCCGGAAGGAUGAUAUACGAGAUAGAGUUGGGGUAGCACCAAUUGAAGAGAAGCUUGUCCAACAUCGUCUGAGAUGGUUUGGGCAUGUCUGAGAUGGUUUGGGCAUAUUCAGCACAGGCCACCAGAAGCUCCAGUGCAUAGCGGACGGCUAAAGCGUGCGGAGAAUGUCAAGAGAGGUCGGGGUAGACCGAAUUUGACAUGGAAGGAAUCCGUUAAGAGAGACCUGAAGGAUUGGAGUAUCACCAAAGAACUAGCUAUGGACAGGGGUGCGUGGAGGCUUGCUAUCCAUGUGCCAGAGCCAUGAGUUGGUCGCAAGAUCUUAUGGGUUUCACCUCUAGCCUACCCCAACUUAUUUCCAAACAUGGGAACUACAAUCAUGUGAGAAAUGGGGAGAGAACUUCCUUUUGGAAUGAUCUGUGGUUAGAAAAUGACCCCUACUGCAAACAUUUUCCAGCUCUUUUCAGCAAAUGAUGUGACCCAGAUCUCAAGGUAUCUAAAGCUCAAGCCUCAGGGGAAUAGUUUGCCCCCUUUAGGACUAACUUGGAUGAGGUGAACUCAAAUCUAUGGCUUACUUUGUUAGCUGAGAUUGCUGGUACUGAUUUCAGAGGAGAGGAUGAGGUUAGCUGGCGUCUUACACAAAAAGGAGUUUUGGGGAGUUAAACUUCCUAUGAAAAGGGGUACAUUAAUUUGCACAAAAUUAUUCAACUAGUUCUAUGCACAAAAGCUUGUCCUGCAGGAAAAGGGGUACAUUAAUUUCAAAAGGAGUUUUGGGGAAGUUAAAACUUCCUACGAAAAUCUCAUGCGGAAACUCUUUGUUGGAUAAACUUCCUUCAAGGAUCCAAUUGCAAAAAAGGAGAUGCCCAGGAAAUGGGAUGUGCGCGCUUUUGGAGCACCUGCGGACGCAGACCACAUGUUUUUACAGUGCAUUACUGCGGGUUUGUCUGGAGUUGUUUGAAAGAGAUGUUUAACUGGUGGUGGCCUAGUAAUAGAGGAGAGCUUAUUAGCUUCACUGAGGGGGAGGGGAUAGUUUUAGGAUUAUCUGGAUCGUUCUUCCUGUCCAAUUUUGGGCGCUCUGGAAAAUGAGAAAUAAGAUUAUCUUUGAGAAGAAGUCUACUAUUCAUCCUUCUGACUACUUGUUUGUUUCGAUAAUUCACCUGCAGAAGUGGAUGCCUCUGUGGAAGGGGAGGACACAGGAGGAGAUCAAGAAGACAGGGUUGUGUAUUCAGGCACAGAUUACCAAGCUGAAGCAGGAAUCGACACCUCACCAGGACCCAAGCGGCAUGAUAGAUGUGAUCUGAAGUGGUUUUUGUUUCCUGAUGUGUUGGUUCUUGGGUUUUCAGGCCCUGUUCUAGUGCUUCUGCUAGUGUGUUUGUCUCUGUAAGCUGGUAACCCCAGCCCUUUACCUUUCUGUUGGAUUGUAAGAUUUUGAACCUUUGGUCUUCUAUAGACCGGGCAUCAUAAUUGAGAUGUCUUUUGUCUAAAAAAAACUGCCAUCCAGGUCACUGCAUGCACGAAUAGCCGAAUAGGUACACAACCCCACAAUUAUCUAAAAGGACCAGCAAAAUCCUGUGAUUUGCUGUUAUGUGACUCCCAAACCAUGUGAUAAUUUACAUACAUCAGUGGUCAUUUCAACUGUUGUUGAACAUUUUGAACACUGAGAUCUUGUCUCAUUAAACAUUUAAGCAUACUAAUGAUCUGUCUCGCCUAAACAUUACACAGAUAUCACUUCAGUUUUCUGAAACAUUUGGCACAGUGCACACUGUAAGAAGCCAACCACGAAGGUUACUGGUACCAAAAAAUUAAGACAGUAAACAACAUUAGAAAUUGAAUUCCUGAACGUUCAGUCCAAGUUCUACUAAACGAUGAUGGCUGAUGACUACUUCUAUAGAGUUGAAGCAAGGAAUAGAUGAACUAAUGAGACAUAUGCAAAACAGUAGCAUAUCUUUAGAAUCCCAUGAUAACCUCAUAGUCAACAACACAUGCACAAUCAGACAGCAAAGUAAAAUUUAUUCAUAUAACUGCAUUAAUAAUUCAAGAGCUGAGCAUGAGAGAAAACACUGACCAUCCAGUGCUUGGUUGAGUGAACUGAAGUCCAUAAAAGUUCUGGACGCUUUGUUUGGAGAUGGUUGCACGAGAACAAUGGUGUGCCUUCCAGCCUGUGAUAAUGUCACAAAUAAGAUCUUUUAUUUUCUAGUAUAAAGGGAGAUUGUAUUGACUCAAAAUGCCGCAUCAAGGCAAUAAAAGCGGAAAGAGUUGACAGCUGGCCUCUGCAUAGCUAAGUGCACACAGCCCAUAAGUAAGAUCUGGGGUGUGCUAAACUUUGCAUAAAGAAAUGCUGGUAAGCAAGUUGGUUUUGAAACGGCAUAAGCAUAAUUAUUGUCCAGGCACCCAGAACACCUGUGAACCAAUGUACUUCAACAAAGGGUUUACAGACCAAAUAUCAUGGCAGGUACCACUUUAUUGUUUAUUUUCCACCAGUUCUCAGAUAGAAAUUAUUUCCAGUUGAAAGAAAGAGUGAGCCCUAAAGAGCACUGUUAAUUGCUUCCAAGUACUCCCUCCGUCCCAAAUUCUUGUCUUAGAUUUGUCUAGAUACGGAUGUAUCUAGUGACAUUUUAGUGUUAUAUACAUCCGUAUCUAGACAAAUCCAAGACAAGAAUUUUGGGACGGAGGGAGUAACAUAUAAGCGCCUUUGGGCCUUGCGACCAGCAAAGCCACCCAGAGUCUUCCUAAUCGAAUUGAACAAAAUUUGCCAAGCGCCACAGCGAGCACACUCAGAUAGUCAGGUUCAACCAGGUCACAGGACAUCAGAACACUAGAUAACCAUCCAGCAAGGUAUCAUACACUCCAAACAUAGAUGAGAUGAAUCGAAGUUCCUACGAAAGCAAUCAAGCCGCGAUUGGCAUCUCACAUGCAAAUCCAAGCUACUCAGAGCAUAUAUACAGAAGACACUUCGGGAUCGAUGCGCCCUAAACAGGGGUCUACAGACUGAACACCAUGCACAAGUGACAUGUCCCCCAAAGGCAGUUUCACUUCCAGGAUCAAUCAAUUUCACAUCAAGAUUUGCAGCGACAUUGGAAAGAGUAAGCACCAUCGAUUGCUUCUAAAAAAUGAGAGAAACGAGCCAUUGGACUCUGCCCAAUGGCAAAACCACCACGGGUCCUUCGAGCCAGGGAAAUUAGUUAACCCCGCCAAAGGCAGGAGGAAAUGGGGAACAAAAUUCCCCACAACAGCCAGCGAGCCGCGACGCGAGGCAAAGCAUCAACAGAGGAAGCGGGAAUAAUGUAGCUGUAGGGUUAGAUCGCCGUACCAUACUCUCGGUGCGGAAGCAGAAGCACGGGUCCCCCGCCGCACCCCCGCGCCGGGCCGACGAACCCUAGAGAGACCAGCAGCCGCGCCUUUCCUGUGGGAAACGAGAGAAAGCGAACUGCGUGGGUGGAGCCGAGAAGAAAUACUGCUCGCCGGUAGGGGGAAAGUGAAGAGGAGACCAGAAAAAAAAUUGUUACCGGAAUGGCGGGUGAAGGCGGAGGCGGAGCCGGUGGAUGGUGUGGUGUGGGCGAGCCUGCGAGGAGGAAGGCUUGCCAAGAAAAAGUUGCAGUGAAGAGAAGCCCGACCCUGAGAGUGAGAGAUCCUUCCGAACGAAAAUGGAAUCCUUUCGGAACACUAGACUAGGGAAAGCCCGAUCGAAAUAAGUCCUUCCAAAAUACCCCAGAAAUUGUUUUAAAAAAUACCCCAGGAGGAGGAGAUCCAUUUUUACCAGGUACUACCUCCAUAUCCAUAUCAAAAUAUAAGCCUGAAAUCUUAAACGCGCAGCUGCGCUCGUUCGUCAUGGCGGGCGCACGCGCUACACGAUAAGAAAUUCUAUGUUCCUGUCUCCCGCCUCUUUCUCGCACGUGGUUCCAAUACACAGCCCACAGAAAGGAACUAACGCACAGAAAAAGGAGCUGAUCCACCGUGUCUCAGUGCGCCCAUUCAUGUCGUGAUUUCCCAACAAGAUCCCACGUCGCAUGCAUUUAAUUUGCGUUUUCAAAAUUUCAAAAAGCUAUAACUUUUGAACCGAUCAUCGAAACUCAAAUUUGUUUUCACGGCUAGGUUUCACUAACUUUUUUUAUGAGCAACUUCGGAUGAAACGGAAGCAACUUCAGUGCUAUAGGAAAGCAACUUACUACCAGUCUGCGUAGGAUGACUGUGUAUCAUCGAAAAUUCCUUUGAAGUUAGCUAGCUUCACCUCUAAGUUACCUACCAUAACUAGUUUAGUUUUGCCUCUAAGUCGAUAGUAUUGUAGGCAACUUAGUUUUCGAGCUAGGCUAAUAUUUAUCAGCUGCCUGCCAUGACUAGCGAAUAGUUUAACAUCAUCCUUAGUUGCAUAAAAUACUUUUUGGUAUGCUAAGCAACUUAGUUUCAUAGAUAUGCAACUUAGUAACACUUAUAGACAACUUUUCAAUGUAUUGUAGGCAACUGAAAAAGUAAUGGCAGGCAACUAAGCACCACUGUUAGGCAACUUCAGAGUGUUUGUAGGCAACUUAGGAAAACAAUAAUAAGCAAGGGCACAAUAUUUACGUGUCAUGACUAACGAGUAGCUUGACAUUAUCCUAAGUUGCCCAUAGAUGGAAAGAUUCAUCUACUAUAGUAUGUUGAUCUUUCAUAAACUCGUCUGACCAACCAUAUGAACCCAACGAUGACAUAACAUGCAUUAAUUUCAGUACAAGAAAAUUUCAAAAUAUAACUUUCAAACUGCGUGUUGGAAUUAUGACCCGUUUUCAUCAUUGGGUUCCUCGUGAUGAACUCUUCAAAACUAGAUCCCAUAUGAAUAUGUUGAUGCUUUUUUAAAGCAACUUUGAUGCUAGAUGAGGCAACUCUAGUGCUAAACUGGAGCAACUUUAAUGCUAGAUGAAGUGCAUUGUGUGUGUUAGUGAUUCACCUACUAGCCUACGAAUAGUUGUGUGCAAUAGUCUAAUGGAUGGUUAUCAUGGUUGUUGAGUUGCAUACAUCAAAAACUAAGUUGUCGAUAGUUUAGUUGCCUACGAUACUGUGAAAGUUGCUUACCGUAGAGUGGAAAGUUGUCUAACACGGCUUCUAAGUUGCCUGCCUCAGAAACCAGAUUGCCUAUAUUGCUACGAAGUUGCCUACACACCCCAAUUGCCUAAAAUAGUAUGAAAGUUGUCCAUCAAGGGACCUAACUUGCCUACAAUGCUGAAAAGUUUUUGUGGGAUAUAAGUUGCCUAUCAUGAUUUCAAAUUUCGAAACUAUGUGAAGAUGGAUGGUGUGAUAGCAUUAUUCUUUCCUUUUCUGGGGGAGUCUAUCGGCCAACGCUACCGAGCACGUGGGUGUUAGCUAGCAAUGUCAUGGGUGUUGACUGGUUGCAUAAGUAGAGACAGAUGAUAAGUUGCAUAGGGGGUGAUGAGAAGUUUCAUAGGGGCGGAUCAGACAGUUGCCCACAAGCCUACACAAGUUGUUCAUAAUUUUUGCAUGAGUUGCUCGUGAAAAUUAUUGAAAUCUCCAGAUAUAAUGAUGGAAAACACACAUGAGUUGCUUGUUGAAUGCACUGAAGUUGCACAAAAACACCCCAAAAGUAGCUAACUUUUUUGUGUGAUACUCGGGUUUCAUAACGAUCUUAAAAUGCCAGUCAUCUGAGCAUCACCGAUAGGUAACUUCAUAGUGUUUUAGGCAACUUAGGAAAAACACAAUGAUAAGCAGAUAAUUGUAGGCAACUAAUUUGCCAAGUUAGACAAUUAAGCAGUAAUGAUAUGUAACUAAUUAUCAAUAGCAGGUAACUGGACGUCAAUGGUAGGUCAAUUUUAUAGUAUUGUAGGCAAGUGGGCAUCACUGAUAGGCAACUGAAUAUCCAUGGUAGGCAACUGAGCAACCAUGGUAGGCCAGUUGUGAUAAUUUUAGCAUUUUUACACAAACAAACCUAAUAAACAGUCCUCUAGGCAAAAAAAUGAAGUUGCUUUCCUGUAGCACUAAAGUUGCCUCUAUCGUACCCGAAAUUGCCUCAAAAAAAAGUUCGACGAAACCUAUCUAUAUGAGAUCUAGUUUUGAAGAAAUCGUCGUGAGAAAUCCAGCUGUGAAAGCGAAAUUAGAUUUCGAUGCUUAAAUCAAAAGUUAUAGCUUUUUAAACUUUUUGGACCUCCAAAUAAAUGCAUGUGAGACAAGAUUCCUUUUUUGGUGGGCUACGUCAGGCGCACCAGUAGGUCUUUCCAUAUUUGAAAGAGCGCUCGAUCCCACCAAAGGGCGCUCGCGCGCCUGCUAGCCACGUCCAAAUAUAAGACUUUUUUAGGAAAAUUUAAUAAAAAAACGUCUUGUGUAUUUUGGUAUGGAGGUAGUACUACUUUCGUACCAGAUUGUUACAUUUGCGUUAUUUUUGCCACAAGGGAUUCAAAACUUCAUGUGUAACGUUCAAUUCGUCUUUAUCAAAAACAACAAAAAAAACAUUUCGUGUGCACUUGGCAAGCAAACAGGUUUAAUUUACGUCUGGUUGAUGUUUUUGGCUACUGGAAAUGGAAUACAAACAGAGAAACAUGAAGCAAACUAACCUUACAAUUUCUUCGAAGGGCAUUCAAAAAUCUAACGAUCUAUUCACACACACAUCGAACUUUCAAAUAGAUUCAAAACCUCAUCGAAGGGCAUUCAAAAAUCUAUUCGAAGAGCAUCUAAUGAUCAAAGCAACACGAAAAAAAAAUCAAACGAUCAGAACCAAGAACUGAGGCUGACAGUAAUAAGCCAAAAAUAAUCUUAGAUUCAGUUUUCGACUCCUACAAUGCUGACACGAUAUAUUGUAACCGACAGAAUACUCCAAAACCACAGUACAUUGUUACAAAUUGUGUAAGAACUGAAAAGAAAUAAUAACAUUGGAGGAGACACAAAAACAUCCCAUUUUGAAAACAAAAAAGCCUUGUUCAUUCCCAGGCUCCAGCGAGAGUUAGGCCGCCGUCGCCGAGAGACCAAAAUCCAUGGCUUCUUCCUUUCCUCGAAACAAUAAUCAACACUCAUGUGACCUCGCAAAAAUAUACAGCUCAAAACUGGCUGUUGCUCACAUCCCAGUUCCUCUGCGGUGAAACACCUAAGCUAUAGAGAAUACACCAUACGCUGUUUUUCACUAGACACAGCACCUGAGAAGUUGAGCUGCCAAGAGCUGUUAUAUCGAGAGGCUGUUGCACGCGUCGACUACGGCAGCAUGUGAGCUCAAUAUGGCCUGGCCUGCUGGGUCUGCUCCUAGGGUUUUCGUCACGGAGGUGAAUAUUGCUUUGCGGAAGAAGGUAUCCUCCAUUGCCUUUAGAAUCCCCUCUGCGGCUUCAAAUCUCAGGCCACACGACAGAAUCAAACGAGCAACCACUUCACCAAAUUGCGUUGGAGCUUUAGGAAGGUCAAUACCAAUAUCUUCCAACAGCGACCCAUAUAACAAGCAACCAUUUUCCAGAUCUUCGGUCUUGAAAGUUUUCUUGGUGUACAGAUGCUCCAGAAGCUUAACAAGAGGGUCAACAAAACUGGCACCUUUAUCCAGAGCAAGAUUGAUAGCUUCUUUAACAAUCUCAGGGUGGUAAUCAGGACUCUGCAGCUCCUCAAUACAUUGUUGUGCUUCAUCCAAAAUACGAAUACCAAAAUACUCCUCAAGAAGAGAUGCUGUCUUCUUCUGAAGCCCUGCAGGGAUCACCUUGGCAGAACUGGCUGCUUUGUCAGGAAUAGGUACAGAAGCUGGAGUUGCACUUGAUGGUUUUGGUGAUGCUGUAGUUUGAGCUGGUAAAGGAGUGGGGCUAGCCGUAAGGCUGGAAGGGCGGGAUGGUGGACCACCGGUGCCCAAGAGUGCACUCUUGCCAAUCAGUGCUCCAGUGCCUUGAGGAAGAAGCCUGGGGUUGAUGGGUGAUGGCUUGUUAAUAGAUGGAACCUUAUUGAUCAACGGACCCUGGUUGCGAAGCGGAUCGCCUCUUGGCAUUGAUCUAGAACGCUGAACUUCCCAGUUAUCAUUAUCUAACCCAGGCAUCCCAGGCAUUUUUCUAGAUCCAGGCAUCCCAGGCAUCAUACCUCCUGUUCCUGGCCGGUUCACUGAAAAACCUCCAGGCGAAAGAGGCCCACCUGGUGCAUUACGGCCAUUCCUCAUGUUCGCUGUGGCCCCUGGACGUAAUCCAAGGUUCUUUUCAGCCUCUGUGUGGAUCUCGCUGAUUGUCUUCGCCUUGAUCUGAAAGUUACAAGCACAAAAAGUUUACAAUGGAUGGAUUCACAAAUCCAGCUGGACUCAGUUGCUAUAAGAACAGUCAAAGAAGUGGGAAAAACUGUUUGAAGGCUUAAGUGUCAUUCUAGUUUUGAGAACAGACUAUACGCACUUCAGUAUAAUCAGGUAAUGUGGUGGUUUUAACUGACUGACUAUAAGCAUGUGCAUGUUGAGUGUACAAAGCAAAGUGCACGUCUGACUGAUUUCCAAGAAAUGUGCGAUUCAAUAUGCUAAUCAUUUUUGGUUCGCCAGUACACACAAUGCAUGUGUGUUCUUCUAAUACGUUAACCUUUAGGAUCUUAGAACUAACAGUUUUCCUAUGAAGUUGAUAUGCCUCUUCUGGCAAUAUGCAACAAACUACUAAAAUGAGAUGAGCCAGUACCCAGCAACAGUCAUUAACUCGUUAUACAUAAAAAGGUAAUAUAGUUCAACAUAAUAGCAGCAAAACAGUAAUAUCGAUCCAUUAAAUCGCUAUGAGCAACUGCAUGUAGAGUAAACAGUCCAUGCACUUGGUUGAUUUUAUUUACCUCAGCACGUCGAGGCACCCAGUUGUUAGAACGGAGAUCAAUCAAAUCCCGGACCAUGAACUUGGAACGUGGGGUCAACUGAGGGUUCGCUACUAGCUCCCUAAUCUGGACGAAGUAGGUAUCAUUGAUUCGGCGAGACUUUGGGUUCUCAUCAAGCUGUUUACCAAUCGUAUUGAAGAACUGGCAAAUUGCUUCGACGUGUUCCUCGUCAGGGCAAGCCUUUUUAUCAGACCCCAGUAGCUCCUACAUAGUGCAUACAACAAACGGAUUAGGCACGUUUUCAUGGAAUAAUAAUUGUACCGUCGAUUUCCCAAGGUGUACCUUGACAAUGUGAUGAACUAUCUUCUCAGGAACCAUCUUUUGCUUGAGUAGCUCACCAAUUAGACGAAUAUUUCCAAGUGUUCUAAGUUUGAAGAUCCUUUCUUUGUCUCUUUUCUCCAUCUCUUGGUCAGGGCCAGUCAAACUUGCAAUCUCAACCCUCAGGCUGUCAGCACCUUCAAAAGCUUCCUGACAAUUGUUCAACAGCACACGUUUGAAGGUAAUCUCUUUACCGCCUGGUUCUUCAGAAGGGAAUGUCGGAAGGUUGUCAUUGAGUUCAGAACAAAGUUGGGCAUACAUCGGACAGAAUGUCGGUUCAAAAACAGCCUUCUCAAAUAUGAGAGAGAUAACAUCCUGAAUGAAAAGCAGAAGAUAGAUAAAUCACCAGGAACAGUCAAGAUGACAUGGGAUUAUAAUACACAGCUAGAAACAAAUCAAACCUUCAAAAUAUCAGCAGUGGUAAUUCCAGAAUCUAGCAGUUGGCCCUUGAGUAGAUCAAAUUUCUCUGGCGUCAGUUUGUUCAGUAUACUGCACAAGCAAGAGCAGAUAAACAGCAUGCAGACGACAAAUACAAACUAGGUAAUAUAUGCUUAGUAAACAAGGAAUGAAAAUUGCCACUUCAACAGGAACAAACAAGAAGGAAGAAAAACAUAAUAUUACCCUUUCACUGUUUUCAGGACUCUGUCUUUCUCCGAGAGAUUGCCUCUUCGGGCUGACCAAGGUACAUCAGCCUUGAUAAGAGCAGGAGGGGGGCCAACCUGACAUUUGGAGAACAAAAUAAGGAGGGAUAUACAUACGGCCAAACACUACCUUGGUAGGGAAAAAUAAGUAAUGAAAAAUAGAACGAAGCAUAACAACACAUGAAAUCAAUCACCGCCGAAUAUAUUACUCCCUCCGUCCCAAAAUAAGUGUCUCAACUUUGUACUAAGGUUGAGACACUUAUUUUGGGACGGAGGGAGUACUACUUGUUUACUUCUAUUCAAACACACAACUUCUUCAUGUAGUUUCCUAUAGGUUGCUAGAAAGGUAUGUUCAUAGUUGCAUAGAAUGAUAUUUAAUUAAGCAAAUUAUAUAAUAGCUCAACAGAACCAUGAUCAGACUACACUGUUGAGUUAUAUCAACAACCCCAACAUUGACUGUAUGACAGAUCAGUAGAACCAAGCAACUGUACUGAGAUUUGAUGAAUGGAGUCGUGUCACAUCAACAUUGAUUAGUCGAUGCAAAUCGGCAUUCAAUCCAAAAAGGAAGCAACCAGCAAACAAAACAGAUGAUUGGUAACACGAGCUUAUUCAAAAUUUACUACAAAAAGGUCAAAGGGAGCAAAAGAGUAAACGACUGAUGCUCAUCUUGAAGGUACCUGAGCUUUCUGGGAGCUCGAUUGAUCUUGCCUGUUAAACUGCUCUUGCUGCCUGCCACUUGCAUUGUACUGUUCUUUAACCUCACGAAUGUUGUCCCAAGACUUCUCUUCCUGAACUGCUGGUGCUGGAGGUUUCUCUGUGCGUGCACGCCAGUCACGGUUAUCUGUCUCAGUAAACCUGUUUUGAGCUUGUACUUGUGGCUGUGCCUGUGUCUGCAAUUGCACCUAAAUAACAAAAAGGACAACAAUAAGGGUUCCAUCUUCCACAUGUGCAAAUUAGCAUAGAACUGUAAUAAAUUUAGUGAUAUGGUAGCAUGAAGGUCAUUUAAUAAGAAUGCAAAACAUUAUAGUACAGAUUGUAAAAAUAGGUAAACUACAUACAAUGCACAUGGAAAUGAAGAACUCACAUUUGAAUCGUUGCGAACCCAGCUCUGAUCGUCACCAUUAAGCUCUGCUUCAAUUUCUUGCUGAAGCCUCAAGAUUUGCUCGGUUACAUCAGUAAUCUGCAAGGAUAUUAUAUCAGUGCAUGCAAAUAAUGCGUCUGCAUUGCCAGGAACAACUUAUUAGAUAUUUCAUUCAACAUAUGUCCCAUGGGGUGGUUAGGUUGUGCAGAUAGAACUAUAACACAUAUUUACUUAAGUUCGCUGGACCAAAGAUGAAAGCACAAUUAUGUCCACAAAGAAAGAUAGCCCAUCCCUGUCUAGAACUAUUUUUACCACAUCAUAGCUGGCAUGUUGCUUAUCAGUUUCCACCCUUAUAAAGGAGAAACAUCCUAAUAGGUUAGAAACUUGGCUUCCAAUUCAGCCUUUUUCCCGCAGGCUCAAAAUAAAACAUGACUAAUCAAACUGCUACUGCUCAGGGAUAAGUUAAGCACGCUACAGAGUAUUCUGCCUCCUCAAAUUGACAACGACAGGUGCACUUCCACCUCUGUUUCAUGGGAAUGCCUCUGGUAUUUACUUCCAUCCUUGAGCCAUACUCCCCCAGUUCAUGAUGCUACUUACAAAAUAGCACUGCCUUUCUAGAUAUAACUUUCACAGUGACAGACUAUUUCCAAUAUACCAGCACACACAUUCAAACAUACAAAACAGGAGUCUUCUACUGACAAUCUACACAAUUCAUUAUUGGUUAAGUUUGGCUGUAUACACGGCAACAGCAUACAUCAGUGAACUAAGUGGGUGGGCAGGUGGGUGGGGGAAGGUACUUCACAGCCUAUGCGCUAUUCAUGGCUUGGCCGAAAGUAUCCAGGGUUACUCAAACUUGAUAGUUCUUCUCCGAUACAUCUCAAACCUGUUGAACCACACACUACUGGCAUCUUUCAGCAAAAUCAGAUAACAAGGUAUACUAACCAUAGCAUAUUGAAGGAAGAUAUUUACAACAAAAAUUCUAUGAAGAAACCGACUUUGUGGGAAGUGUCAGAGAUGUACCUUGCGCAGGUCAAGAAGUUGAUCUCUUGAAUAACGAACACGCUCACGUGACUCAGAAUGCAAGUCACCAAUCUGCACCACAGUAGCAUCCAUGUCAGCAUAGCGAAAAUAGGUCUAUAAAUUAAAUCAGAAUAUACCCAAAAUCUGCCAAUGUAUAACAGCUUAUUUGGUCUGCCUAGGCAUGUAAGUAUUGUGUUGAGUAUCGAACAUGGUAUAUGCACAAGUAGCGAUAAACCCAGGAAUCUGCUUGAAGUCACUGGUUCUGCCAACAGCCCACCUCAUCCUACACAAAAGCUCAGCCAUGAGAGCUGAAACCCGGUCGAGAGCACAGCCCUCACACCGUCACCCCAGAAGUGAAUACUCUGAAAUCUAAAUUGUAGCCUACAGAAGCAGCCAACGUCAAUCCGCACGCAGCUAAACACAUCCUUCUUGCGCAUUAUCGCGGUCUAAAACCUCGUUAAGCAGCGUACUGACUAAUAAAUCCCGGCGUAUCGAUUAAUUAGACAGCGUCCUCAACCAAUAAACGCUCCAUCCAGACUAGCGCAGGGCCUAGAGCCAAGAUCCGAUAUUUCCCCUCUGGAUCUCCCCCCUCCCGCCCAUCCGCGAACCAAUCGAACCCGCAUCGAACAGUAACACCUCCCCCCAGAUCGGGCGGCGGGAGCUCUCACCCUGGAGACGCCGGAGGCGCCGCCGCCGUGCGGGCGGAGGAAGUCGCCGGAGCCGGAGGCGGCGACCGCGAAGGCGGGGGCGAAGAGGCGGCCGCCGCGGGGCCCGCCGCCGCCGCCGCCGGGGCGCAGGCUGAUCACUGGCUGGUCUGUCGUCAUGGCUGAGGGUGCCGAAUCCGACCAAGGCACCGCGACAGCUCGAUCGACAGGGAAUCGGCGGGCGGCCGAGGAGGAAAUCGCGGAGGAAUCCGAGCUUUUUUCUUCUUCUUUGGGGGGGAGGGGAGGGUUGGGUUCCGUCUGCGACCUCUCUCCUAGUGGAGGCGCGGUGACGGGAGGAGGUGGGGUUUUAUCCCGGGAGCAUUAGGGCUGUGGGGCAAAUCCUCGUUGUUUCUGCUGCCACCGCGGGGCAGUCUCGUACUUUCACAAGGGCAGGUGCGUGGUGUCCGGGGCUCGGGGCCCGCAUGUCGGUACGCCCUGCAGCGUGACGGUGGUGGAUAGUUACGAUUUUGGGCAGGAGAGGCUGGAGGAUUUACGGAUGCGGUGCCCGGGGUCCUGCUGGAGCGCGAUGCUAUCUCGCCACUCGCAGGCUGUAAUGGACCCCCAGGACAUGUGACUUUGGACGGGUAUUUCAUUUGUAUUUUCCAAUAUAUAGAACAUACUUCUAAUCUUUAAUACGUAAGAGUAUGUGUAUAAUAUGGUCGUUACAAAAUUGGAUGCAACGCAUUACAAAAUCGGAUGCAACGAUCAAUGGUGUAUAUACCUCAUUAUGUAUGAUGACAUGUCAAGUUAAUACACCAUGGUAUUAGAUCAUACACGAAUCAGGUAUGAAGAAAAAUGAACAUAUGUGUCUCGUUAGCAUGUGUACAUAUGUCUAUAUUUAUGUUUUUGUUUUACACCAACAAGAUUCACUUUCGUUUUGUUCCUUAUUCACCAAUGGGUUGUUGUGAGCCAUGCAAAUUUCGUUGAAUAAAUAGAGGAGUAGCUACUUUUGCAACUUAGUUUGCCUUGAGAUUCACUUUGAUUUCUAAACAUUGCGGGAAUUUUCGCGUUUUCUAAUCAUUCUAGCCUCCGAGGAACCGCACAGCUUGCAACUACUUGAUUAGGUCCAUUUUGCGGUAUAAUUGGCAGAUUUGUGGUAUACAUAUGGUAAGUAGUUGUUUCCAUUAUUGAAAACUUCAACAAAACUACUUUUUCUGUUGUAUCAUUUAUUUUAUUUUAUUUAUCUAUCAAUUCCUAUCGUACCGUGCAAUUUACAUUUGUAACUAGUUGGACAGGAAGCUUGAUAACCUUCUUGAAACGUUGGGGGAAGAGUGUGUUGUUUUUGUGUGCAUUGUGUACCUUGUGACUUUGUUUGCUGUGAGAACUCUUUCUUGAUCGAUAAACCUUGGUUCUCAAAUCAAGGGAAAUAUUUAUUGCUAGGUUAUUUCACCCUUAUACUUGGGGUCACCCAACCACUCUUAUGAGAAAGCAAGCAGCAGCCUCCAUGCAUGUCAUGCGAGUUAAGGCUUGGUUAAACAAGCGGUAAUCCCAGAAUCCAAGGGCACCUCUCGCCCUUGGCCGAACAAUUCGGUCCCGUCUUUCCGGUGUGCUUUCCGUGAACCCCACCAACAACUCUUAGCCACCCUUGCCAGGUCCUCGCACACCAAGCAUAAUAACUUGAAGACUCCCAUAACAUAGGUUAGGAUGGCCUGCGCUAUUGCCUUUAUCAAUACUUUCUUUCCACUUUUGCACUAGAUGACCAUCUCCCCACACACAUAUGUGCUUCAUCAGUCUUCCUUGUAAAAUUUAAAUUUUUCCCUGGUGCAUGCGACCAGUCGGAGUGGGAAACCCAAGUGUUUAUCCUCAAAUUUUCCUCGUUACAGGCCAAGUUCAGAUCUGACUUGGUCUUGGGGUGGGCACGAGGCAUGCUUGGACAAAGAGAAUCGACCACCCGGUAGGAUUUAUUAACUGCCCAAUGGAACCUUCAUAAUUUCCUUAUCCGUCUUUACUUGUUAUUGAUCUGCGUGGAAGAAGAAAAGUGCAUCAUCCACAAAAAGGUUUGAGAUACACGGCGCACUGCGACAAAUUUUCAGAGGUUCAAUACCAUGUGAUUUCACACCAUGCUUAAGUAGCAUAGAAAGACAAUCGGCAACAAAGAGAAACAAAAAGGGAGACAAGGGAUCACCUUGCCGGAGGUCACACUACGGUGCGAACAGAUCCAAGAGGGUCUUGUUGAAUUUGACUGGAUAUCUCACCGCGAUGACACACAUCAUAAUCCAGUGCACCCACCGGUGAGUGAAACCCAAAUUUUCUAUCACUUGCUUCAAGAAUCCUCAAUCGACUCGAUCAAAUGCUUUGGACAGGUCCGGCUUAUAGUCACAAUAGCUAUCUUCUUAUUUCUUCUCGUGAUGCAUGGCAUGUAUUCACUCAAAGGCCACUAAAGCAUUAUCUGUAAUCAAGCGGCCUGGAACAAAAGCAAUCUAAAAAGGUGAUAUAAUCUCGUCUAAGAUUCUUCGAAGCCGGUUAACGAGACACUUUGCCACAAUCUUAUAGAUGACAUUGCAUAAACUUAUGGUCGUCGCUUUUGGGAUUAGAACAAUGAUCGCCUCAUUUACUCCCUCAUGCAUUACCCCGGUUUGGACAAAAAUUCUUACUACCCUCACAAUUUUCUCCUUAAAAAAUGCUCCAAUUCCACUAAAAGAAACGUGUCGGUAUCCAUCAUUAGUACCAGGUGCCUUUAGGGGGGCUAUUUGAAACAAUGCAUCCCGUAUUUCUUUCUCUGAAAAAUGCACACAAUUUCAUGUUUAUAUCAUCAGUAAUAAACGGUUCAAACAAUUACCACAGUGUUCGAGCAAUGCCAUUGUCACCAGUAAAAAUUCCCUGGAAGUAGAUCUACACAAGUUGACCCAUCGCUACAUGUUUCCUCUAUUCCAACCCAUAUGCAUCCAACAAAUACUUGACUCUAUUUUUCCUUGCCUACCAAAUAGCUUUACUAGCGAAAAUGUUGGUGUUACGGUCUCCUUCCUUAAGCCAAUCGAUUCAUUCGUGUGGUUUGUAACGCGCUUCACUUCAUCCCUCGGCCUGCAUUCAUAUUCAGUAAUUCCUCAAGGCGGCUUCUAGACUUCUCAAGUUCCCUACUCACGUUGCCAAAUCUCUUACAUUCCCAUGUGUGCAGGUCACAUAGUAAGUUGCGUAGUCCUGCUCUUAUAUCCCCCAAGCUGAAAUGGUCUCCUGCCUUUUCCCAUUCCAUGGCAAUCCGUUCAGGGAGACUAGCAUCCCGCUCCCAUAGGAUUUCACAACAUCUUAUUUUCGGUUUGAAUAUCUUCUCCCCAUCUACUUCACAUGUCAACACAAAGGGGAGAUUGUCAGAACAUGGCGAGACUUCAUGUAUCAACUUUGCUAUUGUGAAAAUAUCCCUCCGUCUGUUAUCCGCAAUAGCCCGGUCUAACUGGACUUUGACAUUUCGACAACCGCGUUGUUUAUUAUCAAAUGUAAAUGGACACCCCUGAAAUCCCAAAUCCACCAACUAACAAGUUUCAAGAACAUCAUGAAAAGCCAUCAUUUGAUUUUCAUUUAUUGGAGUGCCUGAUAGAUGCUCAAAAGACCAAAGAGCUUCAUUACAAUCUCCCAUAACACACCAAGGCAAAUCUGAUUCUACUUUAAAGUUUUGCAGCUUUGACCACAUUAGAUGCAUAUUCUCUCUACGCGGUUCGCCAUACACACAAGUCAGACGCCACAUGGGAACAGAAGGAGACACACGCACGAGUGCAUUAAUCUUUCAUUCAAAUCUUGGACAUUGACGCUCAACUGGUCACACCAAAACAGAGUAAGACAUCCACUAAGACCAACACUGUCAACACCAGCAAAACUUGUAAGUCAUAGUCGACCCGAAGACGAUGAACCUUUGAUAGUCCAUUCUGUAUCACUAUUUCCUACUAUAAUUUAUCUUAUUUCCAUGAUAUAUUUUACAUUGUAAUGCAAUUCUAAUGUCUUUCAUCUCUUAAAAUGCAAGGUAUACACAGAGAGGGGAUUGCUGGACAUUUGGAAAUUCGGACCAAAAUUCAACAGAAGAAAAAGCAAUUUUUCGGAGAUCCAAAAGCAGCGGGGAUUUUACCGAGUUGUUUAUAAAAACUAUGAAGCCACAUGCCAAAAGAUGGGCCAGAGGGCCAGGACGCCGCGCGGGCACCCCACGCUGGUGUGCCUUAGGCCGUGUGCAUGGACGCUUGGGCCCCUAGUGGCUCGCCUCUGAUGCCCUUUGUUCAUAAAUUCCCAUUUGCCCUAGAAAAAUAGAUCCUCUGGAAUUUUUGGCGUCAUCUGCGAGGCUGAACCUAGGCGGAGCACUUUUGCUCUCCGUGGAGUGAUUCUGCUAGGAAAACUUCCUUUCGGGAGGGGAAAAUCAAAGUCACCAUCAUCACCAACACUUUGUUCAUCGUUGAGAUCAUCAUCUUCACCAACACCAUCUCAUCUCCAAACCCUAGUUUAUCCCUUUUGUUCAAUCUCUGUAUCAAACCUCAUAUUCGUAACUAGGAGUACUUGUAUGUGUUGAUUACACCUUCUAGUUGAUGCAAAGGAGAUUUAUUGGUGAAAGAUUCUUGUGUUCAGAUUGUUUACAAAAUAUUUAUACCCACUUAUCAUGAUCCAUAUGAUGUCUUGUGAGUAGAUCCCGAUGGCUCUGUAUUUUACGCAAUUUUAGAGCUCAUAUGUUGCAUGUGUUCUUCAUAUAUUAUGUCCCAUUGAACCAAAUAUUGUCCAUUAUGCAUGAUUACCCGCUUUGCACUUUUCAUUGUGAGCAUUGCACAUUCGUGUAUUUUUUUGUUAGUUUCCUUCUUUUCUUGUGUCUAUAGGUGUAUUGGAGCAACCUAGGACCAAGCACGAUGAAAGGAGCAAGGAUGGGUUCAAUACGGAGUCAGCCACGGGUCAGACUUAGCCAUUUCGAAGGCUGGAAAAGGUCAUUUUUUCCAAAGUGCUCCAAAUCAAGAUCUAAUACCACAAAUGGAUCAACGUCAUUCAUACGAAUCCAAUGAGCACAAGAACGUCAAAUUCCGAGUUUGUAUGUAGAAAUGGCGGUCGUUUUACCGGGCGAGUCCAUACCAAAAGACGGCAUUUCGAACGACCGCACACGGUCGUUUGAGCGGUUGUUUGACGUGUAGACAGCUCUGAAAGUUGCCUCUCUAGAUGGGAUUCUUCACCGAUUUCGCCCCCGUUCGAUCCCAUGGAAUCCUUGGCUCAUAAAGAAGAGAUUGGGAGAGUAUUUGGCUCACCUAGAGCCCUUGGAUGAAGCCCAUCUAGAGAGGAGGCUAGGGAGACUCUCUAUAUAUGUCUCCCUCAACCCUAGCCGUGGUCAUCACACAUCCACAUUCAUUCACCCACGCAACUGUCUUCCAUCUCCAUUGUUUCCCCAAGACCACCUCCAUAGAUAAGAGAAGGGCCAAGCCAAGAGGAAGAAGAAGGGGUGCCUCCACCACGCGCAUCGGCCUUUGGGCCGGUGCAGUCUUCACCGUGGCGCGCCAUCGUCACCACCACCGGCGCCGCCUUGCCCCUCUCCUCCACCGGCUACAUGCCGGCUUGUAAGUUGCUCUCUCCCUCUAUGAUGUUUGAGUAGUUGUGUUAGUUUUUGAAGAAUUGGAUAACCCUUACAUGUUUGGUACUUUGUUGAAUAAGUGAUCCAAUAUUCUCUUUAUAUGUAUUGCAUCGAUUGUCUCAUGGUGUUGUGAAGGGCGCCCACACAGUAUUGGCCAAUUAUGGACUUGAGGUGAUUUAUGUUGAGAAGGGUAGUUGUAGAGGGUAGGUGGUGACAGGACCUAUUCCCGCUUCCUCUCUGAUCAUUGCAAUAGGGAUUGGUGGAGAACCCUAGAAUUUAAGGCCGUGACCACGGGGAGUUUACUCCCCUUAAUCAUCGUUGUGAUAACCGGAGUGGGGAAGCAUGGUGAUGGCACGAGUGUAUGUGGUAACCUUAGUGGGGAUGCGUACUUUACAUGGCUCCGCCCACGCGAGAUCAUAUAAAAGUGGCUUAAUGAUACAAUUAGAGAGCCAUGUUUAUCAUGUUUUGUCAGCAUCAUACUUGUGUUGAUGACUCCAGCUCCCAAGAGAACGUUUACUACUCAAGCACCAUUUCACGUAGUUUAGUCUCUUUACUUUUCUGUCUUUUAUUUCUUGUUCAUAGUUUACUAAACACUAUCCCUUUUAUUCGUGUUCCUAGCAACUUACUAAAGUAGGCUAUUUCCAAACUACGGUUUGGGUGCGUACGUAGCUCGUUAAGUGACAGUGUAGCUACGGGGUUUGUGGUGCCUUCCUAUUUGCUCCCUGUGGGUUCGACACUCUAUUUAUCACGAAAGUGCUACAACAGCCAUGUGCACUUGUAGGUCAUCAAGCCUUUUCUGGCGCCGUUGCUGGGGAGCAUAACGCUUGAUUAUUACUUACCCGCUCGCAUAUAGUUUAUUUAUGUUUGUUUCUACUUAACAAAAAACAUCAAAAAAUGUCUGGCUUUGAGAUGUCUUCUGCAGGAAUUAGAAUGCUACAAGGAAACAAAACGAAAAGAGAGGAAUGAUAUAUGCUCAAUAUCAAUAUUCAUUUAAAGGUAUUGAAAUGGGUGAUAAAUUGGAGGCAUUGUAUAUUUACGCUAAAGGUAUAUUUGCAUAUCCAUCAUCUUGUGAGCAUUGUAAGUCCAAAUGCCAUAUGAGAUUCAGCUGUAAAUUUAACGUAACCCUGUUGUAGUAGCAUAUAACAGUGACUGGUACAUAUUUGAUCAUGUUGCAAUUAUUGAGGAACUAAUGCUCUAUUACAGAACAUUAGAAUUGAUGAAUAGGGUGAAGGAGCUCUCUAUAUGAUAACCCACAAGUAUAGGGGAUCAAUUGUAGCCUCUUUCGAUAAGUAAGAGUGUCGAACCCAACGAGGAUCUAAAGGUAGAACAAAUAUUCCCUCAAGUUCUAUCGACCACCGAUACAACUCUACGCACGCUUAACGUUCGCUUUACCUAGAACAAGUACAAACCUAGAAGUGUUGUUGGAUAGGUUUGCAAGAUAAUAAAGAGCGCGUAAAUAAAAAGUAGGGGUUGUUUAGAUAAAGACACAACUAAAUUAGUUUUAGUAGAUAACUUGUUGUCACACAAGAAAGUUAUUUGUCCCUAGGCAAUCGAUAACUAGACCGGUAAUCACUAUUGCAAUUUUAUUUGAGGGAGAGGCAUAAGCUAACAUACUUUCUCUUCUUGGAUCAUAUGCAUUUAUGAUUGGAACUCUAGCAAGCAUCCGUAACUACUAAAGAUCAUUAAGGUAAAACCCAACCAUAGCAUUAAAGUAUCAAGUCCUCUUUAUUCCCAUACGCCAUGACCCACUUAUCCGUGUUUGUGUUUCAGUCACUCACGCAACACAGACAAUAAGCAAACCAUGAACAUAUUGCAAACCCUACAGCGGGGAUCCCUCACGCUUGCGCGACACGGAGAGCACCAUAGGACAACACCAAUAAUAAACACAUGCAACUCAAACCAAUCACGAUCAUCAAUUAACCCAUAGGACAAAACGGAUCUAGUCAAACAUCAUAGGAUAGCCAUACAUCAUUGGGAAAUAAUAUAUAGUGCCGAGCACCAUGUUUAAGUAGAGAUUACAGCGGGUAAAAGAGGGGUUACACCGCUGCAUAGAGGGGGGAAGAGUUGGUGAUGACGGCGGUAAAGUUGUUGGUGUAGAUUGCGAUGACGAUGAUGGCCCCGGUGGCACUCCGGUGCCACCGGAAGCGAGGGGGAGAGAGCCCCCCUUCUUCUUCUUCCUUGGCCUUUUCCCUAGGUGGGAGAAGGGUUCUCCCUCUGGUCCUUGGUCUCCAUGGCGUGGGAGGGGCGAGAGCCCCUCCGAGAUUGGAUCUGUCUCUCUCUGUUUCUGCGUUCCCAGAUCUGGCCUUUCACCAUUUCUUAUAUUCCCGGAGAUCCGUAAUUCCGAUUGGGCUGAAUUUUGGACACGAUCUCUAUCCGGAUAUUAGCUUUCUUGCGGCGAAAGAAGGGCACCAACCGCCUUACGGGGUGGCCACGAGGGCCCAGGGCGCGCCUGACCCCCUGGGGGGCGCCCCCUGCCUCGUGGCCCCCUCGGGCAUCGUAUCGCGUUGAUUCUUCUUCCCAAAAAUCUCAUAUAUUCCAAAAAAAAACCUCCGUCAGUUUUUAUCCCGUUUGGACUCCGUUUGAUAUGGAUUUUCUGCGAAACAAAAAACAUGCAACAAACAGGAACUGGCACUGGGCACUGGAUCAAUAUGUUAGUCCCAAAAAUAGUAUAAAAAGUUGCCAAAAGUAUGUAAAAGUUGUAGAAUAUUGGCAUGGAACAAUCAAAAAAUUAUAGAUACGAUGGAUACGUAUCAGCAUCCCCAAGCUUAAUUCCUGCUCGUCCUCGAGUAGGUAAAUGAUAAAAAAGAUAAUUUUUGAUGUGGAAUGCUACCUAGCAUAAUCUUGAUCAUAUAAUCUAAUCAUGGCAUGAAUAUUAAGACACGAGUGAUUCAAAGCAUACUAAUCUUGAUCAUAUAAUCUAAUCAUGUCUAUCAUUUGACAUUAAGACAACAAUACUUCAAGCAUACUAAUAAAGCAAUCAUGUCUUUUCAAAAUAACAUGGCCAAAGAAAGUUAUCCCUACAAAAUCAUAUGGUCUGGCUAUGCUCCAUCUUCACCACACAAAAUAUUCAAAUCAUGCACAACCCCGAUGACAAGCCAAGCAUUUGUUUCAUACUUUUGAUGUUCUCGAACCUUUUCAACUUUCACGCAAUACAUGAGAGUGAGCCAUGGACAUAGCACUAUAGGUGGAAUAGAAUAUGAUGAUGGAGGUUGAGUGGAGAAGACAAAAAGGAGAAAGUCUCACAUCGACGCGGCUAAUCAACGGGCUAUGGAGAUGCCCAUCAAUUGAUGUCAAUGUGAGGAGUAGGGAUUGCCAUGCAACGGAUGCACUAGAGCUAUAAGUGUAUGAAAGCUCAAACUGAACUAAGUGGGUGUGCAUCCAACUUGCUUGCUUAUGAAGACCUAGGGCAUUUGAGGAAGCCCAUCGUUGGAAUAUACAAGCCAAGUUAUAUAAUGAAAAUUCCCACUAGUAUAUGAAAGUGAUAACUCAAGAGACUCUAUAUAUGAAGAACAUGGUGCUACUCUGAAGCACAAGUGUGGUAAAAGGAUAGUAACAUUGUCCCUUCUCUCUCUUUUUUUGUAGGCUUCUUUGGCCUCUCUAUUUUUUGGGGGGAUUCUUUGGCCACUUUUAUUUUGAUAACCUCACAUGGGACAAUGUUCUAAUAAUGAUGAUCAUCACACUUUUAUUUACUUACAACUCAAUAUUACAACUCGAUACUAGAACAAAGAUAGACUCUAUAUGAAUGCCUCUGGUGGUGUACCGGGAUGUGCAAUGAUCUAGCGUAGCAAUGACAUCAAAAAACAGACAAGCCAUGAAAACAUCAUGGUAGCUAUCUUACGAUCAUGCAAAGCAAUAUGACAAUAAAUGCCCAAGUCAUGUAUAUGAUGAUGAUGGAAGUUGCAUGGCAAUAUAUCUCGGAAUGGCUAUGGAAAUGCCAUAAUAGGUAGGUAUGGUGGCUGUUUUGAGGAAGAUAUAAGGAGGCUUAUGUGUGAUAGAGCGUAUCGUAUCACGGGGUUUGGAUGCACCGGCGAAGUUUGCACCAACUCUCGAGGUGAGAAAGGGCAAUGCACGGUACCUAAGAGGCUAGCAAUGAUGGAAGGGUGAGAGUGCGUAUAAUCCAUGGACUCAACAUUAGUCAUAAAGAACUCACAUACUUAUUGCAAAAAUCUAUUAGUCAUUGAAACAAAGUACUACGCGCAUGCUCCUAGGGGGAUAGAUUGGUAGGAAAAGACCAUCGCUCGUCCCCGACCGCCACUCAUAAGGAAGACAAUCAAUAAAUACCUCAUGCUCCAACUUCGUUACAUAACGGUUCACCAUACGUGCAUGCUACGGGAAUCAUAAACUUCAACAGAAGUAUUUCUACGAUCCACAACUACCCACUAGCAUGACUCUAAUAUCACCAUCUUUAUAUUGCAAAACUAUUGCAAGGAAUCAAACAUAUCAUAUUCAGUGAUCUACAAGUUUUAUGUAGGAUUUUAUGACUAACCAUGUGAAUGACCAAUUCCUGUCAUCUCUCUAAAUAGAUAUAAGUGAAGCAAGAGAGUUUAAUUUUUUCUACAAAAGAUAUGCCCACGCUCUAACAAAUAUAAGUGAAGCAAAAGAGCAUUUUACAAAUGGCGGUUUUCUAUGUGAAGAGAAACAGGCAAUCCAAACUUCAAAUGAUAUAUGCGAAGCACAUGAAGCAUUCUAUAAAUCCAUACUCAAAAGAUAUAAGUGAAGUGCAAUGAGCAUUCUAUAAAUCAACCAUGGACUAUCUCAUACCAGCAUGGUGCAUAAAACAAAAGUGAAAACUAAAUGCAAAAGACGCUCCAAGAUUUGCACAUAUCGCAUGAAUGAAACGAAUCCGAAAACAUACCGAUACUUGUUGAAGAAAGAUGGGAUGCCUUCCGGGGCAUCCCCAAGCUUAGGCGCUUGAGUCUCCCUGAAUAUUUACUUGGGGUGCCUUGGGCAUCCCCAAGCUUGAGCUCUUUCCUCUCCUCCUUCUCCUCACAUCCAGACUUCCUCGAUCUUCGAACACUUCAUCCACACAAAACUCAACAGGAAGUUUGGUAAGAUCCGUUAGUAUAAUAAAGCAAAUCACUACUCUAAGUACUGUGCAAACCAAUUCAUAUUUUGUUUUUGCAUUGUAGCUACUGUAAUAUAACUUUUCCAUGGCUUAAUCCACUGAUAGAAAUCGAUAGUUUCAUUAAAACAAGCAAACUAUGCAUCAAAAACAGAAUCUGUCUUAAACAGGACAGUCUGUAGUAAUCUGAACAUUCACCAUACUUCUGAUACCCCAAAAAUUCUGCCAAAAUUAGGAAAAAUAAACAAUUUGUAUAGAAAGACAGUGCAAAAAGGUUUCAGAACCGUUUGACAUUCCAGUAAAAAAUGUAAAAUCGCACACUACAGCCAAAGUUUCUGUUCUGCACCGCACAAACCAACAAGUAAUCUAAAACAUCCUAAAGGCAAACCUUGGCACAUUAUUUUUAUUUUUAAACUUUAUAAAAUCACACAACAGAAAUAAAUGACUCUCUAAAACUUCUGGGUUGUCUCCCUAGCAGCGCUUUCUUUAAAGACAUUAAGCUAGGCAUAUAGUGCUCAAGUAAUGGAUCCACCCGAAUCCCAAGGUAUAUCAAAGCCAAUUUUAAUUAACAAUGAUUUGUAAUUUAAUAGUGAGCACAAAGUAACAUAUAUCAUGUAAUGACGAAGUCUAACUCUCUUCUUAUGCAUCGGCAUGUCAUAAAAGAACAAUUCAUGCACAAAAAGUAAAGGCCAAUGCAUAGUAUAAACAGUUUCUUGCAAUUUUAUCAUGUUGGAAACAUGGAGAGGCGGAGAUGUAGUUCCUCUCUCAUAAUAAUUGCAAGUAGGAGCAGCAAGCACAUGCAUAUUAUAUCUAUCAAAAUCAUCAUGUGUAAUAGUAAAACGCAACCCAUCAAUAUAAUCCUUAAUAAGGGCAGACUUCUCCGAUAUAGUGUAGUCGGGAGAAUUCAAAAAGAUAAUAGGACUAUCAUGCGUGGGUGCAAUAGCAACAAUUUCAUGUUUAACAUAAGGAACUAUAGCAAGUUCAUCUCCAUAAGCAUAAUUCAUAUUGGCAUCUUGGCCACAAGCAUAGCAAGCAUCAUCAAAAAGGGAUAUUUCAAAAGAAUCAACGGGAUCAUAACAAUUAUCAUAGCAUUCAUCCUUCGGUAAGCACGAAGGGAAAUUAAACAAUGUAUGAGUUGAAAGUUACUCUCAUUAGAAGCUGGGCACGGGUGAUCAAUCCGCUCUUCCUCCUUUUGUUCUUCGCUCUCCUCCUCAUCUUUUUCAUCCAAUGAACUCACAAUGUCAUUAAUUUCUUCUUCCAUAGACUCCUGCAAAAUAUUAGUCUCUUCUUGGACAACGGAGACUCUCUCAAUAAAAUCAUCAAUAUCGGAAUUGAAUUCAUAAUUCUCAUAGCAAUAUUUAAGUAUACUAAAAUUUUCAGGUCUAUAAACCGAAUCAUCAAAAUCUUUGAUGCGGAGCAUCCUACGAUCAUCCCCAUGGACCUACCAUCGUCUCAUCAAGAACCAAGAGGACCCAUGACACGAGCACGAGCUAGAGCUCUCGAGAACGAGGUGACUUCCUUCCUUAGUGAUAUCACAUAUGAUCCACUCGAGACAUGGCUACUACCUAAGUCCGAUAUGCUAUGCAUGAUUAGGUGUCAAGAGGACCCUCCCGAGGAUGCAUGUGAAGACGGACAAGCUGCCAAGUCCAUGAAUGAAGAGAACCAACGGAAAGAGGAAAGAGCACCUCCCAGGCCUCGGACAUCCGGCCAAGACCCCGGACAUCCGGCCCCUGGAGCGUCCACCACAGCAGCAGCCCAGCUGCCCAACAUCUACAGGCCCCGGACAUCCGGACCGAUCCCGGAAAUCCGGCCAGAAGCCCGGACAUCCGGCGCCAUGCACCAGAACCUACAGAAGCUUGUUGGAAAUAUGCCCUAGAGGCAAUAAUAAAUGGUUAUUAUUAUAUUUCCUUGUUCAUGAUAAUUGUCUAUUGUUCAUGCUAUAAUUGUGUUAUCCGGAAAUCGUAAUACAUGUGUGAAUACAUAGACCAUAACGUGUCCCUAGUAAGCCUCUAGUUAACUAGCUCGUUGAUCAACAAAUAGUCAUGGUUUCCUGACUAUGGACAUUGGAUGUCAUUGAUAACGGGAUCACAUCAUUAGGAGAAUGAUGUGAUGGACAAGACCCAAUCCUAAGCAUAGCACAAAAGAUCGUGUAGUUCGUUUGCUAGAGCUUUUCCAAUGUCAAGUAUCAUUUCCUUAGACCAUGAGAUCAUGCAACUCCCGGAUACCGUAGGAGUGCUUUGGGUGUACCAAACAUCACAAUGUAACUGGGUGACUAUAAAGGUACACUACGGGUAUCUCCGAAAGUGUCUGUUGAGUUGGCACGGAUCGAGACUGGGAUUUGUCACUCCGUAUGACGGAGAGGUAUCUCUGGGCCCACUCGGUAAUGCAUCAUCAUAAUGAGCUCAAUGUGACUAAGGAGUUAGCCACGGGAUCAUGCAUUACGGUACGAGUAAAGUGACUUGCCGGUAACGAGAUUGAACAAGGUAUUGGGAUACCGACGACCGAAUCUCGGGCAAGUAACAUACCGAUUGAUAAAGGGAAUUGUAUACGGGAUUGAUUGAAUCCUCGACAUCGUGGUUCAUCCGAUGAGAUCAUUGUGGAACAUGUGGGAGCCAACAUGGGUAUCCAGAUCCCGCUGUUGGUUAGUGACCGGAGAGGCAUCUCGGUCAUGUCUGCAUGUCUCCCGAACCCGUAGGGUCUACACACUUAAGGUUCGGUGACGCUAGGGUUGUAGAGAUAUUAGUAUGCGGAAACCCAAAAGUUGUUCGGAGUCCCGGAUGAGAUCCCGGACAUCACGAGGAGUUCCGGAAUGGUCCGGAGGUGAAGAAUUAUAUAUAGGAAGUCCAGUUUCGGCCACCGGGAAAGUUUCGGGGGUUAUCGGUAUUGUACCGGGACCACCGGAAGGGUCCCGGGGGUCCACCGGGUGGGGCCACCUAUCCCGGAGGGCCCCCUGGGCUGAAGUGGGAAGCGAACCAGCCCUUAGUGGGCUGGGGCGCCCCCCCUUGGGCCUCCCCCUGCGCCUAGGGUUGGAAACCCUAGGGGUGGGGGGCGCCCCACUUGCCUUGGGGGGCAAGCCACCCCCUUGGCCGCCGCCCCCCCUCAGAUGGGAUCUCCAGGGUGGCCGGCGCCCCCCAGGACCCCUAUAAAUAGUGGGGGGGAGGGAGGGCAGCAACAACACAGCCCCUGGCGCCUCCCUCUCCCCCUGCAACACCUCUCCCUCCCGCUUGCGCUUGGCGAAGCCCUGACGGGAUCCCCGCUACUUCCACCACCACGCCGUCGUGCUGCUGGAUCUCUAUCAACCUCUCCUUCCCCCUUGCUGGAUCAAGAAGGAGGAGACGUCGCUGCUCCGUACGUGUGUUGAACGCGGAGGUGCCGUCCGUUCGGCGCUCGGUCAUCGGUGAUUUGGAUCACGAUGAGUACGACUCCAUCAACCCCGUUCACUAGAACGCUUCCGCUCGCGAUCUACAAGGGUAUGUAGAUGCACUCCUUUCCCCUCGUUGCUAGUAUACUCCAUAGAUGGAUCUUGGUGAUGCGUAGAAAAUUUUAAAAUUCUGCUACGAUCCCCAACAGUGGUAUCAGAGCCAGGCCUAUGCGUAGUUACUAUGCACGAGUAGAACACAAAGCAGUUGUGGGCGUAGAUGUUGUCAAUUUUUCUUGCCACUACUAGUCUUAUCUUGUUUCGGCGGUAUUGUGGGAUGAAGCGGCCCGGACCGACCUUACACGUACGCUUACGUGAGACAGGUUCCACCGACUGACAUGCACUGGUUGCAUAAGGUGGCUAGCGGGUGUCUGUCUCUCCCACUUUAGUCGGAACGGAUUCGAUGAAAGGGUCCUUAUGAAGGGUAAAUAGAAAUUGGCAUAUCACGUUGUGAUUUUACGUAGGUAAGAAACGUUCUUGCUAAAAACCUAUAGAAGCCACGUAAAAAACUUGCAACAACAAUUAGAGGACGUCUAACUUGUUUUUGCAGCAUGUGCCUUGUGAUGUGAUAUGGCCAGAAGAUGUGAUGAAUGAUAUAUGUGAUGUAUGAGAUUGAUCAUAUUCUUGUAAUAGGAAUCACGACUUGCAUGUCGAUGAGUAUGACAACCGGCAGGAGCCAUAGGAGUUGUCUUUAUUUUUUGUAUGACCUGCGUGUCAUUGAAUAACGCCAUGUAAAUUACUUUACUUUAUUGCUAAACGCGUUAGCCAUAGAAGUAGAAGUAAUCGUUGGCGUGACAACUUCAUGAAGACACAAUGAUGGAGAUCAUGAUGAUGGAGAUCAUGGUGUCAUGCCAGUGACGAAGAUGAUCAUGGCGCCCCGAAGAUGGAGAUCAAAGGAGCAAAAUGAUGAUGGCCAUAUCAUGUCACUAUUUGAUUGCAUGUGAUGUUUAUCAUGUUUUGCAUCUUAUUUGCUUAGAACGACGGUAGUAAGUAAGAUGAUCCCUUAUAAUAAUUUCAAGAAAGUGUCCCCCCUAACUGUGCACCGUUGCGAAGGUUCGUUGUUUUGAAGCACCACGUGAUGAUCGGGUGUGAUAGAUUCUAACAUUCGCAUACAACGGGUGUUGACGAGCCUAGCAUGUACAGACAUGGCCUCGGAACACACACAAUACACUUAGGUUGACUUGACAAGCCUAGCAUGUACAGACAUGGCCUCGGAACACGGAAGACCGAAAGGUCGAGCAUGAGUCCUAUAGAAGAUACGAUCAACAUGGAGAUGUUCACCGAUCUUGACUAGCCCGUCUCACGUGAUGAUCGGACACGGCCUAGUUAACUCGGAUCAUGUUUCACUUAGAUGACUGGAGGGAUGUCUAUCUGAGUGGGAGUUCAUUGAAUAAUUUGAUUAGAUGAACUUAAUUAUCAUGAACUUAGUCUAAAAUCUUUACAAUAUGUCUUGUAGAUCAAAUGGCCCACGUUGUCCUCAACUUCAACACGUUCCUAGAGAAAACCAAGCUGAAAGAUGAUGGCAGCAACUAUACGGACUGGGUCCGGAACCUGAGGAUCAUCCUCAUAGCUGCCAAGAAAGAUUAUGUCCUAGAAGCACCGCUAGGUGAAGCACCCAUCCCAGAGAACCAAGACGUUAUGAACGCUUGGCAAUCACGUGCUGAUGAUUACUCCCUCGUUCAGUGCAGCAUGCUUUACAGCUUAGAACCGGGGCUCCAAAAGCGUUUUGAGAAACAUGGAGCAUAUGAGAUGUUCGAAGAGCUGAAAAUGGUUUUCCAAGCUCAUGCCCGGGUCGAGAGAUAUGAAGUCUCCGACAAGUUCUUCAGUUGUAAAAUGGAGGAAAAUAGUUCUGUCAGUGAGCACAUACUCAGAAUUUCUGGGUUACACAACCGCUUGUCUCAGCUGGGAGUGAAUCUCCCGGAUGACGCGGUCAUUGACAGAAUCCUUCAGUCGCUUCCACCAAGCUACAAGAGCUUUGUGAUGAACUUCAAUAUGCAGGGGAUGGAAAAGACCAUUCCUGAGGUAUAUUCAAUGCUGAAAUCAGCGGAGGUGGAGAUCAAAAAGGAACAUCAAGUGUUGAUGGCGAAUAAAACCACUAAGUUCAAGAAAGGCAAGGGUAAGAAGAACUUAAAGAAAGAUGACAAGGGAGUUGCCGCGCCCGGUAAACCAGUUGCCGGGAAGAAGCCAAGGAAUGGACCCAAGCCUGAGACUGAGUGCUUUUAUUGCAAGGGAAGUGGUCACUGGAAGCGGAACUGCCCAAAAUACUUAGCGGACAAGAAGGCCGGCAACACCAAAGGUAUAUGUGAUAUACAUGUAAUUGAUGUGUACCUUACCAGUACUCGUAGUAGCUCCUGGGUAUUUGAUACCGGUGCGGUUGCUCAUAUUUGUAACUCAAAACAGGAGCUGCGGAAUAAGCGGAGACUGGCGAAGGACGAGGUGACGAUGCACGUCGGGAAUGGUUCCAAGGUCGAUGUGAUCGCCGUCGGCAUGCUACCUCUGCAUUUACCUACGGGAUUAGUUUUAAACCUCAAUAAUUGUUAUUUAGUGCCAGAUUUGAGCAUGAACAUUGUAUUUGGAUCUCGUUUAAUUCGAGAUGGCUACUCAUUUAAAUCCGAGAAUAAUGGUUGUUCUAUUUAUAUGAGAGAUAUGUUUUAUGGUCAUGCCCCGCUGGUCAAUGGUUUAUUCUUGAUGAAUCUCGAACGUGAUGUUACACAUAUUCAUAGUGUGAAUACCAAAAGAUGUAAAGUUGAUAAUGAUAGUCCCACAUACUUGUGGCACUGCCGCCUUGGUCACAUUGGUGUCAAACGCAUGAAGAAGCUCCAUGCAGAUGGACUUUUGGAGUCUCUUGAUUACGAAUCAUUUGACACGUGCGAACCAUGCCUCAUGGGUAAGAUGACCAAGACUCCGUUCUCCGGAACAAUGGAGUGAGCAACCAACUUAUUGGAAAUCAUACAUACUGAUGUGUGCGGUCCAAUGAGUGUUGAGGCUCGCGGUGGCUAACGUUAUGUUCUUACUCUCACUGAUGAUUUAAGUAGAUAUGGGUAUGUCUACCUAAUGAAACACAAGUCUGAAACCUUUGAAAAGUUCAAGGAAUUUCAGAGUGAGGUUGAGAAUCAACGUGACAGGAAAAUAAAGUUCUUACGAUCAGAUCGUGGUGGAGAAUAUUUAAGUCACAAAUUUGGUACGCACUUAAGGAAAUGUGGAAUCGUUUCACAACUCACGCCGCCUGGAACACCUCAGCGAAACGGUGUGUCCGAACGUCGUAAUCGCACUCUAUUGGAUAUGGUGCGAUCUAUGAUGUCUCUUACCGAUCUACCGCUCUCAUUUUGGGGCUAUGCUUUAGAGACUGCCACAUUCACUUUAAAUAGGGCUCCGUCGAAAUCCGUUGAGACGACACCGUAUGAAUUAUGGUUUGGGAAGAAACCUAAGCUGUCGUUUCUAAAAGUUUGGGGAUGCGAUGCUUAUGUCAAGAAACUUCAACCUGAAAAGCUCGAACCCAAGUCGGAAAAAUGCGUCUUCAUAGGAUACCCUAAGGAAACCAUUGGGUAUACCUUCUACCUCAGAUCCGAAGGCAAGAUCUUUGUUGCCAAGAACGGGUCCUUUCUGGAGAAAGAGUUUCUCUCGAAAGAAUUAAGUGGGAGGAAAGUGGAACUUGAUGAGGUGAUAGUCACCCCUUCCGAACCAGAAAGUAGCGCAGCGUGGGAAGAUGUUCCUGUGGUGCCUACACCGACUGGGGAGGAAGUUAAUGAUGAUGAUCAUGAAGCUUCGGAUCAAGUUACUGCUGAACUUCGUAGGUCCACAAGGACACGUUCUGCACCAGAGUGGUACGGCAACCCUGUCCUGGAAAUCAUGUUGUUAGACAACGGUGAACCUUCGAACUAUGAAGAAGCGAUGGCGGGCCCGGAUUCCGACAAAUGGCUAGAAGCCAUGAAAUCCGAGAUAGGAUCCAUGUAUGAAAACGAAGUAUGGACUUUGACUGACUUGCCCGAUGAUCGGCGAGCCAUAGAAAAUAAAUGGAUCUUUAAGAAGAAGACAGACGCGGAUGGUAACGUGACCAUCUAUAAGGCUCGACUUGUCGCUAAGGGUUAUUGACAAGUUCAAGGGGUUGACUACGAUGAGACUUUCUCACCCGUAGCGAAGCUGAAGUCCGUCCGAAUCAUGUUAGCAAUUGCCACAUUCUAUGAUUAUGAGAUAUGGCAAAUGGACGUCAAAACGGCAUUCCUUAACGGCUUUCUUAAGGAAGAAUUGUAUAUGAUGCAGCCGAAAGGUUUUGUCGAUCCUAAGAAUGCUAAAAAGGUAUGCAAGCUCCAGCGCUCUAUCUAUGGGCUGGUGCAAGCAUCUCGGAGUUGGAACAUUCCUUUGAUGAGAUGAUCAAAGCGUUUGGGUUUACACAGACUUAUGGAGAAACCUGUGUUUACAAGAAAGUGAGUGGGAGCUCUGUAGCAUUUCUCUUAUUAUAUGUGGAUGACAUACUAUUGAUGGGAAAUGAUAUAGAAUUCUUGGAAAGUAUAAAGGCCUGUUUGAAUAAGUGUUUUUCAAUGAAGGACCUUGGAGAAGCUGCUUAUAUAUUAGGCAUCAAGAUCUAUAGAGAUAGAUCAAGACGCCUCAUAGGUCUUUCGUAGAGUACAUACCUUGACAAUAUAUUGAAGAAGUUCAAUAUGGAUCAGUCCAAGAAGGGGUUCUUGCCUGUAUUGCAAGGUGUGCAAUUGAGCACGGCUCAAUGCCCGACCACGGCAGAAGAUAGAGAAAAGAUGAGUGUCAUCCCCUAUGCCUCGGCCAUAGGGUCUAUUAUGUAUGCCAUGUUGUGUACCAGACCUGAUGUAAACCUUGCCGUAAGUUUGGUAGGAAGGUACCAAAGUAAUCCCGACAUGGAACACUGGACAGCGGUCAAGAAUAUCCUGAAGUACCUGAAGAGGACUAAGGAUAUGUUUCUCGUUUAUGGAGGUGACGAAGAGCUCGUCGUAAAGGGUUACGUCGAUGCUAGCUUCGACACAGGUCUGGAUGACUCGAAGUCACAAACCGGAUACGUGUAUAUUUUGAAUGGAGGGGCAGUAAGCUGGUGCAGUUGCAAGCAAAGCAUCGUGGCGGGAUCUACAUGUGAAGCGGAGUACAUGGCAGCCUCAGAGGCAGCGCAAGAAGCAAUCUGGAUGAAGGAGUUCAUUACCGACCUAGGGGUGAUUCCCAAUGCGUCGGACCCGAUGACUCUCUUCUGUGACAACACUGGAGCUAUUGCCCUUGCCAAGGAGCCCAGGUUUCAUAGGAAGACCAGGCAUAUCAAGCGUCGCUUCAACUCCAUUUGUGAAAGUGUUCAAAAUGGAGACAUAGAUAUUUGUAAAGUACAUACGGACCUGAAUGUAGCAGAUCCGUUGACUAAACCUCUCCCUAGAGCAAAACAUGAUCAACACCAGAACUCUAUGGGUGUUCGAUUCAUCACAAUGUAACUAGAUUAUUGACUCUAGUGCAAGUGGGAGACUGUUGGAAAUAUGCCCUAGAGGCAAUAAUAAAUGGUUAUUAUUAUAUUUCCUUGUUCAUGAUAAUUGUCUAUUGUUCAUGCUAUAAUUGUGUUAUCCGGAAAUCGUAAUACAUGUGUGAAUACAUAGACCAUAACGUGUCCCUAGUAAGCCUCUAGUUGACUAGCUCGUUGAUCAACAUAUAGUCAUGGUUUCCUGACUAUGGACAUUGGAUGUCAUUGAUAACGGGAUCACAUCAUUAGGAGAAUGAUGUGAUGGACAAGACCCAAUCCUAAGAAUAGCACAAAAGAUCGUGUAGUUCGUUUGCUAGAGCUUUUCCAAUGUAAAGUAUCAUUUCCUUAGACCAUGAGAUCGUGCAACUCCCGGAUACCGUAGGAGUGCUUUGGGUGUACCAAACGUCACAACAUAACUGGGUGACUAUAAAGGUACACUACGGGUAUCUCCGAAAGUGUCUGUUGAGUUGGCACGGAUCGAGACUGGGAUUUGUCACUCCGUAUGACGGAGAGGUAUCUCUGGGCCCACUCGGUAAUGCAUCAUCAUAAUGAGCUCAAUGUGACUAAGGAGUUAUCCACGGGAUCAUGCAUUACGGUACGAGUAAAGUGACUUGCCGGUAAUGAGAUUGAACAAGGUAUUGGGAUACCGACGAUCGAAUCUCGGGCAAGUAACAUACCGAUUGACAAAGGGAAUUGUAUACGGGAUUGAUUGAAUCCUCGACAUCGUGGUUCAUCCGAUGAGAUCAUCAUGGAACAUGUGGGAGCCAACAUGGGUAUCCAGAUCCCGCUGUUGGUUAGUGACCAGAGAGGCAUCUCGGUCAUGUCUGCAUGUCUCCCGAACCCGUAGGGUCUACACACUUAAGGUUCGAUGACGCUAGGGUUGUAGAGAUAUUAGUAUGCGGAAACCCGAAAGUUGUUCGGAGUCCCGGAUGAGAUCCCGGACAUCUUGAGGAGUUCCGGAAUGGUCCGGAGGUGAAGAAUUAUAUAUAGGAAGUCCACUUUCGGCCACCGGGAAAGUUUCGGGGGUUAUCGGUAUUGUACCGGGACCACCGGAAGGGUCCCGGGGGUCCAACGGGUGGGGCCACCUAUCCCGGAGGGCCCCAUGGGCUGAAGUGGGAAGUGAACCAGCCCUUAGUGGGCUGGGGCGCCCCCCCUUGGGCCUCCCCCUGCGCCUAGGGUUGGAAACCCUAGGGGUGGGGGGCGCCCCACUUGCCUUGGGGGGCAAGCCACCCCCUUGGCCGCCGCUCCCCCUCAGAUGGGAUCUCCAGGGUGGCCGGUGCCCCCCUAGGACCCCUAUAAAUAGUGGGGGGGAGGGAGGGCAGCAACAACACAGCCCCUGGCGCCUCCCUCUCCCCCUGCAACACCUCUCCCCCCCGCUUGCGCUUGGCGAAGCCCUGCCGGGAUCCCCGCUACUUCCACCACCACGCCGUCGUGCUGCUGGAUCUCCAUCAACCUCUCCUUCCCCCUUGUUGGAUCAAGAAGGAGGAGACGUCGCUGCUCCGUACGUGUGUUGAACACGGAGGUGCCGUCCGUUCGGCGCUCGGUCAUCGGUGAUUCGGAUCACGACGAGUACGACUCCAUCAACCCCGUUCACUAGAACGCUUCCGCUCGCGAUCUACAAGGGUAUGUAGAUGCACUCCUUUCCCCUCGUUGCUAGUAUACUCCAUAGAUGGAUCUUGGUGAUGCGUAGAAAAUUUUAAAAUUCUGCUACGAUCCCCAACAAAGCUGACUCCACCAGCCCGGACAUCCGGCCUCCAAGCCCGGACAUCCGGCCCUUCGGGAAGGCCCGGACAUCCGGCCCGUCGCCCGGACAUCCGGCUCCGUCUGUCUGCGCACAGUAAAGGGCCGAGGCCCAUGUACCCUUUCGCCCCCCUAGACUAUAUAUACUCCUAUUCCUCCCUCUUUCUAGGGUUAGAAAAGGAUUAGCUCAUAUGUGAGAUAGAGCUUUGCUCAUCCAUUACGGAUCUACUCCACGAGAGAGACCGCGGCCCCUCUACGGAGAAGAUCCCCUUGGAUUCAAGACCCCCUCUUGGGUGGCCCCAUCAAGACCUCCUCACGGAGAAGAACCGGUUACCCUUUGUAUCGUUCGUUGUUGACUUUGGAUCCUGUAUCUCCCCUUGUGUUUCGAGGAUCUAGCACAUGUGUAAUCGAAUCUUGUUGGCUUGAGUGUUUCUCUUGUGUUUCCCCUCGUUUUUCCCUCGUGUUCUACGUGUUCUUUAGUUGGGAUCCGCUCCUAUCGUGAAAGAUCGUCCCUCUAGGGUUCCACCCUACAUCAUCUUGGUAUCAUGAGCCACGUUGAUCACGAUUUCGGAGCCUCCCCGUUGUGUUUUCUAGCCUAGUUUUGUUGAUUUUGUCCCAAAUUCGAAAAUUGCCCCACAAAAAUAGCCCCAAUUUUUUUUUGUGAUUUGUUGGUGUGAUGAAGUUUUGUUGGAUUCGAUCCGUGGAUUUCGUGUGUUGCAGGUAGAUCUAGCUUUCCCCCAUCUUUUCCCCAAUUUCCAUCCACAAAAUCUUCCGAUUUUUGCCCCGGAUUUGACCUCUCCACGCGGUGUUCAUCAAAUUCGUCCAUGGAUCCAAAGCCCGGACAUCCGGCCCCACCCGGACAUCCAGCCAUCAGCCCGGACAUCCGGCCCCUGGCAGCAACACUUCCAUCCACCGCUCCGUUUCCCACCUAACUUUCACCCAAUUUUGUUCUGGUGCCCACAUACACUUCCGCAUACCACCACCACUUCCGCAUAGCGCCACCAUAGCCUUUCCUGCUACCAACUCCGACAAUUUUGACCCGUUUUGUUUUGAGAAUUCGAGUUGUGGUUUCCGUGUCCUAUUGUGUUUCGGCUAUCUAGGUACGGUUCAACAUCAACAUCACCACCGCUCAUCUUCGCCAAGGAAUACUACGAACGACUACAUCACUUUGGUAUCAACCUCACCUUGGUAUCAUCUUGGUAUCGUGAUAUCAUCAUACUUGCUUGCAUUUGCAUUGAUAACCCCAUAGCCUUACUUUUGCGUCACUUACCCAUCGAGACUAGCCUUUGAGUAUUGCCGGCAACAUGACUUGUGCACAUUAGUGAUCAUACUUCCCAUAGCAUACCAUAUUAUUGUGUUGCAUAUCUUAGUAUCAUCUCUUGUGUCACAAAGUUAUCAACGCAUACACAAUUGCUACCUUGGUUCGUGAAGCAUUGCAUGAGAAAAGAGCUCAAACAACGACGAGCCAAACAAGCUUUUAAGCAAAAGAGGAAAGAUAAGCAAAGAGCUUAUACGCAAGAACCAUAGCAUCAUACUACAUUAAGAUUGUCACACUCGAUCAUCUUGGAUCAUACCAUUGGAAUACCAUACAUAUAGCAUACUUGGGAUAGAAGUCGUUGCAUUUUUGCCUAGUAGGUUGUGCACAAGUUCGUAUCCGCCUAUUGUGCAAUCGUGCUAGCAUCUCUCUAGUGUUGUACAACACGAGCAUCUUUGUGGUUUCCACAUUUUGGCUCACCCUUGGUUGCACGACCCCACUUAUCUAUUUGCGUGUGUGUUUCCGUGUACCUUAUCUUGCUUGGUCUACUUGUUGCAUUUGCAAUUUGCGAAUCUUUUCCAACAUUAUUGAAACUCACUAACAAUUGCAUCAAAUUUUGUGCCACCAUCCUAACCAAGCUCCACCAUAAGCUUUCACUUGUGUGUAGGUGUGAGAAACCGACAAGAAUUGGUACCAAUUGUGCUAUUUGCUUGUUAUACAUUGGAGUGAUCUUUGAUCCAUUUUCAACAUCGGUCAAGGUACAUUUGGUAUUGGUUCUUCUUUUUCUCCAACUCACAUAUCUUUGUUUGGAAUGAUGGAUAGGCCAAGUACUUCUACCAACCCACUUUUCUUGGAGCAGGACGACGACAUGUCAUCCUACGUCACCAAGAGCCACCUCUUUGGUGCACAACAAGCUUUGCAUCAAGAACAACAAGCAAUGAGCGACCGCAUCGACAACCUCGCCACCGACUUGCGACUCUCCGAGCAACAUACAAGAGACUACUUCGACAACAAGCUCGACGAACACAAGCACGAGAAUGACGCUAGAAUGGACGAGAUUCGUGCCUUGUUGGUCAACCGCUCUUCUACCACUUCGUCCUACUCAAGAAGGAGUCGCUCGAGUCGACACUCCGACAACACUAUCUCCGGCUCAAGUACCCCGACAUCAAACACUCUUCGUCGUGCCAUGCAUCAAGAUCGUCAAGCAAACCGCAACCCUCUACAUGACACCGACUCUCAAGAGCAUCGACACCAUCAAGCCCAAGCUGCAUUCGUGCAAGCACAGGAACGACAACGCCAACGGCAACAAGAUUAAGAGGAGCGUGCGCGAUAACAUCAAGAUGCAGAAGACGCCGAGGCACAACGUCAAGAACAACAACUAUGCAAAGCUCAAGCACUUGAGGCGCAACGUGCCCUUCGAGACUCAAGUCGAGCCGUAGCCAACCGAGGCCGACAAGCUCGUCUACACCAAGAAGCGCUUCGUGAUGAAGUUCAAGAGAGGAUUUUCCAAGCGCGUGUGCAUCGCCAAGAUCCUCCACAAGCUCGACAAGCUCCUCCACAAGCUCCUCCUCCAGCAAGACAAGAACAUCAAGUCCAUCGAGAGCAUCAAGACAAUGGACCUUCUCCAAGACAAGAACAACAUGAGAACGACAAUCCUCCUCGCCAAGAGCAACAUGAGAUUGUCAAUCCUCACUGACAUGGGCGUCAUCAUCCCCGACCCCAACACAAUGAAGAGCAACGAUAUGGCAAGCUAAAGUUCACCAUGCCCAAGUUCACCGGAAGCAAUGACCCCGAAGAGUACAUCUCAUGGGCAUUGAAGGUUGACAAAAUCUUUCGCUUGCACAACUACGAAGAUAAGAAGAUCGCGAUGGCAUCCCUUGAGUUCCAAGACUACGUCCUCAUUUGGUGGGAACAAGUCAUUGAGCGACGAGCGGCAAGAGGUGAACCACCCAUCACCACUUGGACGCAAAUGAAGGAUGUCAUGAGAGCACAUUUCGUGCCUAACUACUACAACCGCGACCUCUUCAAGAAACUCCAACUACUCAAGCAAGGAACCAAGAGCGUUGAAGAGUACUACAAGGAAAUGGAGAUUGCCAUGAUAAGAGCGAAUGUCAUGGAAGGUGAUGAGCAAACUAUGGCACGUUUGUUGAAUGGACUCAAUCAUCCUAUCAAGAAGAUCACUGACUUCCAACCAUACUCGAACCUCAUAGAGCUAGUGCAUCAAGCUACAAAGGCGGAACGUCAAGUGCAAGAUGACUUCAAGUACGCCAAGUACUCAUCCAAGUCCUACGGCUUCUCCAACAAUCAAGCUUCAACGACUCCAACACCUUCUAACUCAACCAAGCCAUCUACGAGCAACGGCGACAAGUCAAGUUACAAGAAAACUUCAACAAGCUCAAGUCGUCCUCCUACUACAAGCAACUUCAAGUCAAAAGCUUCAUCAUCAUCUACCCCAAAUGAUGAGACCAUCAAGACGAGUUCCUUCAAAUGCUUCACAUGCGGCGGCCGAGGCCACAAGUCCUUUGAGUGCACAAACAAGCGCACCAUGAUCCUCAACAACGAUGGAACCUAUGACUCCAUGAGUGAAGGAGAAAUGGAAGCCCUUGAGAAAGUGGCCAUGCAUCGCCAAGUGAACAACGACGAUGAAGAUGAUCAAGUCUUUUGUGACGAAGAUUCGAGCCCCGCUCUUGUUGUCUCCAAGGUCUUGACUCUUCAACAUCAACAAGAAGAAGACCAAAGAUGCCAUAUCUUUCACACUAAAGCCGACAUCAACGAAAGGUCCGUCAAGGUCAUCAUCGAUGGAGGGAGUUGCCAUAACUUAGCAAGUGAAGAACUAUGCUCCAAGCUCCAAUUGGUCAAGAUGAAGCACCCACACCCUUACAAAGUUCAAUGGCUAAGCGACAACGGCACCAUCCAAGUCGACCAUAGAGUGCAAGUCUCUUUCAAGAUCGGAGCUUAUGAAGACACUUUGGAGUGUGAUGUCCUUCCGAUGACCGUUUGCCACCUCCUUCUUGGACGGCCAUGGCAAUUUGACCGAGGUGUCAUCCACAAUGGGCGUACAAAUCACUAUAGCUUUAAGAUGAAAGGGAAGGAGUUUGUGCUACGACCCAUGUCUCCAAGCCAAGUGAUCGCCGACAAGCAAGCCACCCAUCGUGGAGAGAAUCGUGAGCGAGCGAACCACCAAAAAGAGAGUGAGUGCCACAAGCCCAAAUUGAGUGCCUCCAUGAUGAGCGACACGACAAACUUAGUUCUAUCUGCCACCAAACGUGAGAUGAGAGAAGUGUGUGAGAACCCCUCAAGUGUCCUACACUAUGUCCUUUUGUGCAAAGAUGAGGCACCAAAAGCUAACACCUCUCACAAUCUUCCUCUAGUUUUAUCUUCUCUUUUGCAGGAAUUCCAAGACGUUUUCCCCGAUGAGCUACCUCCGGGUCUACCUCCCAUACGAGGCAUCGAGCACCGCAUCGACCUCAUCCCCAGAGUGCCACUUCCAAACAAAGCUCCCUACUGAGUCAACCCCAAAGAAACCAAAGAAAUACAAAGGCAAGUAAAGCAUCUCAUAGAUCAUGGACAUGUGCGUGAAAGUUUGAGUCCUUGUGCCGUACCGGUCAUUCUUGUGCCAAAGAGAGACGGUAGCUUUCGCAUGUGUCCCGAUUGUAGAUCCAUGAAUGCUAUCACCGUUCGCUAUAGGUACCCCAUUCCACGCAUUGAUGAUAUGCUUGAUGAGCUUAGAGGUGCCACUAUUUUUUCCAAAAUUGAUCUUAAAAGUGGUUACUAUCAAAUCCGCAUACAAGAGGGUGAUGAAUGGAAAACCGCUUUCAAAACAAAGUUUGGUUUGUAUGAGUGGUUAGUCAUGCCUAUGGGUUUAUCGGAAGCACCCGGCACUUUCAUGCGUCUUAUGCAUAAUGUGUUUCGCCCUUAUAAUGGUGAAUUUGUUGUUGUCUACUUUGACGAUAUCCUUGUGUUUAGCAAAUCUCUCAAAGAGCAUGUCACCCACCUUCAAACCGUGCUACAAACUCUUCGAAAAGAAUGUCUCUAUGCUAAUAUGGAAAAAUGCCUUUUCGGUGUUGAUAAGCUUGUUUUCUUGGGUUUUGUAGUAUCUUCUAAGGGUGUUCAUGUUGAUGAAUCUAAGAUCAAUGCUAUUAAAGCUUGACCCCAACCAACCAAUUUGCAACAAGUGCGUAGUUUCCUUGGUUUAGCCGAUUUCUACCGUAGAUUUGUGAAGGAUUUUAGCACCAUUGCUUCACCUUUACAUGCUUUGAGCAAGAAGAAUGCACCCUUUGUUUAGGGACCAUCUCAAGAUAGCGCAUUCAAUGAGCUUAAGAAUUUGCUUACUCAUGCUCCCGUGCUUGCAUUACCCAACUUUGACAAACCUUUUGAAAUUCAUUGCGAUGCUAGUGGUAAUGGCAUAGGAGGUGUGUUAACGCAAGAGAAGCGCCCCAUAGCAUAUUUUAGUGAGAAACUUCCCGGAGCGCAACUCAAUUACCCCAUCUAUGAUAAAGAGCUAUAUGCUUUAGUGCGAGUUUUGCGUGAAUGGGAACAUUAUCUCCGCCCUCAUGAAUUUACCAUCCAUACCAAUCAUGAAACACUUAAAUACCUUAAGGGUCAAACUAACUUGAACAAGCGUCAUGCUAAGUGGAGUGAAUUUAUUGAGUCUUUUCCUUACGUCAUCAAGUAUAUUAAAGGCAAGGAAAAUGUUGUGGCGGAUGCGCUUUCCCAUAUAUGCAUGCUUGUUACUCAACUUGAAUUGAAUGUCAUUGGCUUUGAGCACAUAAAAGACUUAUAUGCGCAUGACCCUACUUUUGCUAUCCCUUAUGCAAAGUGCUUGACGCAUCCAUCUUGGGAACGCUAUUAUAUCAAAGAUGGUUAUCUUAUGAGAGCUAACAAACUUUGCAUCCCCGAGUCUUCUCUUCGUUUGUUGCUUUUGCAAGAAUCUCAUGCAGGAGGACUAAUGGGACAUUUUGGACGCGAUAAGACCCUCGCUACGCUCUCCAAGAACUAUUUUUGGCCUAAGAUGUUCCGCGAUGUCAACCGCUUCACCAACCGAUGCUCUACAUGUCGCAAAGCUAAGUCUAACGCUCAAUCUCAUGGCCUAUAUAUGCCUCUUCCAAUCCUGUAUCAACCAUGGGAAGAUAUUAGCAUGGAUUUUGUGCUUGGUUUCCCUAGAACUAGAAAUGGCAAGGAUUCCGUUUUUGUUGUUGUGGACCGAUUCUCCAAAAUGGCUCAUUUCAUUCCUUGCAACAAGAUAGAUGAUGCUUCACAUGUUGCAAAUUUGUUUUCUAGGGAAAUCUUGCGCCUUCUUGGAGUGCCAAAGACGAUUGUCUCGGACCGCGACGUCAAGUUCUUGAGUUACUUUUGGAAGACCUUGUGCGCCAAGCUCGGAAUCAAGCUUUUGUUCUCUUUGGCAUACCAUCCACAAACCGACGGCCAAACGGAGAUGACGAACCGCACGCUCUCCACUCUACUAUGCGUGUUGAUAAAGAAGAACAUCAAGGAGUGGGAGGAGUGCCUACCUAUCGCCGAGUACGCCUACAACCGGGCAAGACAUUCGACUACCGGCAAGUCCCCCUUCGAGGUCGUCUACGGCUUCAACCCGUUGUCCCCAUUGGACAUUCUACCUCUACCACUACAAGAGCGCACAAACAUGGAUGCGAGUGCCCGAGUCAACUACCUCAAGAAGAUGCAUGAAGAUACUAGGCACACCAUCGAGCGCCAAGUACAACGACUCACGUCCAAGCUCAACGUCAACAAGCAACCCAUCAUAUUCAAUGUUGGAGAUCUUGUGUGGCUACACCUUCGCAAGGACCGCUUCCCCAACGAACGCAAGUCCAAACUUCUACCACGAGCCGAUGGACCCUUCAAGGUGCUUUCACGCUACAACAACAACGCAUACAGGAUCGACAUCCCACGCGACAAGUACUCCGUGAGCGACAUCUUCAACAUCAAAGAUCUCUCCCCGUACCAUGGUGAUGAGGAUUUCGAUCCGAGGUCAGAUCUUUCCCAAGGAAGGGGAGAUGAUGCGGAGCAUCCUACGGUCAUCCCCAUGGACCUACCAUCGUCUCAUCAAGAGCCAAGAGGACCCAUGACACGAGCACGAGCUAGAGCUCUUGAGAACGAGGUGACUUCCUUCCUUAGUGAUAUCACAUAUGAUCCACUCGAGACAUGGCUACUACCUAAGUCCGAUAUGCUAUGCAUGAUUAGGUGUCAAGAGGACCCUCCCGAGGAUGCAUGUGAAGACGGACAAGCCGCCAAGUCCAUGAAUGAAGAGAACCAACGGAAAGAGGCAAGAGCACCUCCCAGGCCCCGGACAUCCGGCCAAGACCCUGGACAUCCGGCCCCUGGAGCGUCCACCACAGCAGCAGCCCAGCCGCCCAACAUUUACAGGCCCCGGACAUCCGGCCCCAGCCCGGACAUCCGGACCGAUCCUGGAAAUCCGGCCAGAAGCCCGGACAUCCGGUGCCACGCACCAGAACCUACAGAAGCUGACUCCACCAGCCCGGACAUCCGGCCUCCAAGCCCGGACAUCCGGCCCUUUGGGAAGGCCCGGACAUCCGGCCCGUCGCCCAGACAUCCGGCUCCGUCUGUCUGCGCACAGUAAAGGGCCGAGGCCCAUGUACCCUUUCGCCCCCUAGACUAUAUAUACUCCCUUCCUCCCUCUUUCUAGGGUUAGCAAAGGAUUAGCUCAUAUGUGAGAUAGAGCUUUGCUCAUCCAUUACGGAUCUACUCCACGAGAGAGACCGCGGCCCCUCUACGGAGAAGAUCCCCUUGGAUUCAAGACCCCCUCUUGGGUGGCCCCAUCAAGACCUCCUCACGGAGAAGAACCGGUUACCCUUUGUAUCAUCCGUUGUUGACUUUGGAUCCUGUAUCUCCCCUUGUGUUUCGAGGAUCUAGCACAUGUGUAAUCGAAUCUUGUUGGCUUGAGUGUUUCUCUCGUGUUUCCCCUCGUUUUUCCCUCGUGUUCUUCGUGUUCUUUAGUUGGGAUCCGCUCCUGUCGUGAAAGAUCGGCCCUCUAGGGUUCCACCCUACAUCAAUCUUCAAACUCUUCAAACAAAGAUUCACUUUCGUAAGCACCCAUAAAAGCAACGAACUCUUCUAUUUGUUCCACAUCAUAGUAAUCAUAUAUACCAUUAGCAUAAGAAGCUAAGGUUUCAUUAUCAUUAAAUUCACAUGAAAAGGGAAGGUGUGGAGCCUUCAUCCUAGAGCAACAAGUAUAAUCAUAUCUCAAGCAUAGUUGCCGAGCAUACCAAUGCAACAAAUAAAUUUGAUCCCAUAAUAGUUUCCCUUUUUGAGUCAAGCGAUAAUCCCUAAAGUAUUCACGUUGAUCCAACGUGUCUCCCAUUACAAAGUUGAAUGGGGUUUUCUCAGGAUUAUCAAAGUAGUACAUAAUAUCUUUCACAUAAUGAGCAUCGAGGGUUUUAGGAGGUUCCCCAUCUCCAUGAGUAGCAAGUACACCUAAUUUUUUUGGUAUUUCGUGUUCCAUAUCCAUAACUAAAGAUAGAGAACAACUUAGAACAACUAAUAAAAAUUACUUAGUGAUAAAGCAAACAAGCACACACGAGAAUAUUCACCCCACGCUAUUGCUCCCCGGCAACGGCGCCAGAAAAAGGUCUUGAUAACCCACAAGUAUAGGGGAUCAAUUGUAGCCUCUUUCGAUAAGUAAGAGUGUCGAACCCAACGAGGAGCUAAAGGUAGAACAAAUAUUCCCUCAAGUUCUACCGACCACCGAUACAACUCAACGCAUGCUUAACGUUCGCUUUACCUAGAACAAGUAUGAAACUAGAAGUGUUGUUGGAUAGGUUUGCAAGAUAAUAAAGAGCGUGUAAAUAAAAAGUAGGGGCUGUUUAGAUAAAGACACAACUAAAUUAGUUUUAGUAGAGAACUUGUUGUCACACAAGAAAGUUAUUUGUCCCUAGGCAAUCGAUAACUAGACCGGUAAUCACUAUUUGCAAUUUUAUUUGAGGGAGAGGAAUAAGCUAACAUACUUUCUCUUCUUGGAUCAUAUGCACUUAUGAUUGGAACUCUAGCAAGCAUCCGCAACUACUAAAGAUCAUUAAGGUAAAACCCAACCAUAGCAUUAAAGUAUCAAGUCCUCUUUAUUCCCAUACGCCAUGACCCACUUAUCCGUGUUUGUGUUUCAGUCACUCACACAACGCAGACAAUAAGCAAACCAUGAACAUAUUGCAAACCCUAGAGCGGGGAUCCCUCACGCUUGCGCUACAUGGAGAGCACCAUAGGACAGCACCAAUAAUAAAACAUGCAACUCAAACCAAUCACGAUCAUCAAUUAACCCAUAGGACAAAACAGAUCUACUCAAACAUCAUAGGAUAGCCAUACAUCAUUGGGAAAUAAUAUAUAGCGUUGAGCACCAUGUUUAAGUAGAGAUUACAGCAGGUAAAAGAGGGGUUACACCGCUGCAUAGAGGGGGGAAGAGUUGGUGAUGACGGCGGUGAAGUUGUUGGUGUAGAUUGCGGUGACGAUGAUGGCCCCGACGGCACUCCGGUGCCACCGGAAGCGAGGGGGAGAGAGCCCCCCUUCUUCUUCUUCUUCUUCUUCUUCCUUGGCCUUCUCCCUAGGUGGGAGAAGGGUUCUCCCUCUGGUCCUUGGUCUCCAUGGCGUGGGAGAGCCCCUCUGAGAUUGGACCUGUCUUUCUGUCUCUCUCUGCUUCUGCGUUCCCAGAUCUGGCCUUUCACCGUUUCUUAUAUUCCUAGAGAUCCGAAACUCCGAUUGGGCUGAAUUUUGGACACGAUCUCUAUCCGGAUAUUAGCUUUCUUGCGGCGAAAGAAGGGCACCAACCGCCUUACAGGGUGGCCACAAGGGCCCAGGGCGCGCCUGACCCCCUGGGGCGCGCCCGCUGCCUCGUGGCCCCCUCGGGCAUCGUAUCGCGUUGAUUCUUCUUCCCAAAAAUCACAUAUAUUCCAAAAAACUCCGUCAUUUUUUAUCCCGUUUGGACUCCGUUUGAUAUGGAUUUUCUGCGAAACAAAAAACAUGCAACAAACAGGAACUGGCACUGGGCACUGGAUCAAUAUGUUAGUCCCAAAAAUAGUAUAAAAAGUUGCCAAAAUUAUGUAAAAGUUGUAGAAUAUUGGCAUGGAACAAUCAAAAAUUAUAGAUACGACGGAGACGUAUCACUCUACAACAUAAAGAGGUCUAGAAAUAUAUGGUGUUGGUGGAGAGUAUUUAUAAAUGGUGUACUACUAACAACCUCCAUAAUGCCCCUUUUAAUUAAAGAUUAUGAGAAGUGGAUUGCUAUUUCUCAGGCCUCUAUGUUGCAGGAACAUAACCUCGUAAAAGAAUCUGAGGAGAUAAUCGAGCGAUGGGAGAAAAACAAGGGAACCACUUUCCACGAAGUGUGUCUAGGAGAAAAGCCGGAGAAGGAACAUGGAGAUGAAGGAGGAAAGGGCCCUGUUGGGGAUAUAACCCCACAGUGUGACCCGCCCAGGAGGGGCCGGGUUACACUGUUGGCGACUCAGUGAUGAAGCAUAAGUAGGCCUAAGAAGCCAAGAUGUAAAGCCUGGAGGCGACUUACGAAGCGGGCUGACUGAAGGCCCAAGACCCGGAGGUGUAAGCCGACCGAUGGCAACUUGACUAGCAAGGCAAGUCGACUUAGAACCAGAGUCGGUCACGGAGCAUGAUCCGACCUGGACUCUUGUAAGCCCAGGGCCUCGACCUGUGUAUAUAAAGGUGAGACCCUGUGGCGAGUGAAAGUUAAGUUACGAUCAAUGGUUAAGUGAUUCCGCUCCCUUGUAAUCGAUACUCAACCAAUACAACACAAAGCAGGAUGUAGGCUUUUGCCUCGUUGCUGAGGGGCCGAACCUGGUAACCUCAUGUGUCUCUCAUCCCGUUCAACCCCUUUAAGCUAAUCACCGUAGCCAUGGCCUCGCACCUAAGUCCUUUCACAAGGGCAUCUGCCGUGACAAAACCACGACAGUUGGCGCCCACUGUGGUGCCAGUGCAUGGUGGUUUCGAGUUCUUGAAGGGCACUUUCCCAGGGAUCGAGGGAUACGCCGUUGGCAGGCUGACUAAGAGUCACCGCGGCAAGCUCUACAUCGACGACAUUGGCUGGGGCCCUGAGGCCGACUCAAUCGAGUACGGGCACCAGGUCCCCUUCCGCGGGAUUCAUGUCUUCAUCGACAAGAUUGGUGGAUCAGAGCCUUAGCCGGACAUCUACACCGACAUCAUCAAGCUGGCUCGGCGCAUGCAACCCGCCCGGAUUCAACCCGUUCGGAAACGUGCUUUCGUCGGUUUCGUGCAUGGCAUGGAUCUUGCGGAGGAUUCUGUAUCCGGAGGAGAGACUCUCGUUUACUCAGGUGAUGAGUCCUUGACCGGAGAGACGGAGUCAAUUUAUCAUCUUCCAGACGGUAGGCUCGGGGGCUAUUCCGAUGGUGAUAGUAUUCCGGACCUCUAUGAGCCGCCGUGUCGGGCUGCUAUCUUCAUGGCUGACACAGGCCCGGCUCUAAAUUCAUCAACAGCUGCAGCUAUGACAUCUGGAUCGAUUGCUGCUAUGACAGCUAGGGCUGGCGGCUCAGCUAGGCCGCCAGCUCAUGUCUUAUCAAAUCUCUUGGGCACUCUGACAACUUUGCUGGCGACAGAGGUGACUGCAGCGAAUCAAGUAGAGUGCAAUGUAGAAAUUGUAAAGAUUUAGGCGGAGAUCACCAAGGCCCAGGAGGAUAUCAAUGCAGAGAAUACCAGGAUGGCAGAGGAACAUGCUCAAAUCGCGGCUGAAUCGGAGCGUGUGAGGACACAAGCUUGGCGUUUGAUGGUAGCUAGAACUACGUCGGUAUUUCCCUGGAGAGGUAGGGAUGAUGUAGCACAGUGACGGUAGAGUAUUUCCCUCAGUUAUGAAACCAAGGUAUCAAACCAGUAGGAGAACCAAGCAACACAACGUAAAUAGCACCUGCACACAAAUAACAACACCUCGCAACCCAACGUGUUAAAGGGUUGUCAAUCCCUUUCGGGUAACGGCGCCAGAAAUUGGCAAGCGGACGUGAGGUAAGUUGUAAUAGAUUGAAAUAAUAGAUCGCAAAUGAAUAAAGUGCAGCAAGGUAUUUUUGUAUUUUUUGGUUUAAUAGAUCUGAAUAAAAAUGCAAAGGAAAAGUAGAUCACAAGGCAAAUAUAUGAGAAAUAAGACCGGGGCCCGUAGGUUUCACUGGUGGCUUCUCUCGAGAAAAAUAGCAAACGGUGGGUAAACAAAUUACUGUUGGGUAAUUGAUAGAACUUCAAAUAAUUAUGAUGAUAUCUAGGCAAUGAUCAUUACAUAGGCAUCACGUCCAAGAUUAGUAGACCGACUCCUGCCUGCAUAUACUACUAUUACUCCACACAUCGACCACUAUCCAACAUGCAUCUAGUGUAUUAAGUUCAUGGAAAAACGAAGUAAUGCAAUAAGAACGAUGACAUGAUGUAGACAAGAUCCGUUUAUCUAUAUGGCGGUAUAUAUAGAUCUCGUCUUUUUAUCCUUAGUAGCAACGAUACGUAUGUGUCGUUUCCCCUUCUAUCACUGGGAUCGAGCACCGUAAGAUCAAACCCACUAUCGGGCACCUCUUCCCAUUGCAAGAUAAAUAUAUCAAGUUGGCCAAACAAAACCCAAAUAUCGGAGAAGAAAUACGAGGCUAUAAGAUAUCAUGCAUAUAAGAGAUCAAAGAAACUCAAAUAACUUUCAUGGAUAUAAAAAGAUAUGACUGAUCAUAAACUCAAAGUUCAUCAGAUCCCAAUAAACACACCACAAAAGAGUUACAUCAUAUGGAUCUCCAAGAGACCAUUGUAUUGAGAAUCCAGUGAGAGAGAGAGAAAGCCAUCUAGCUACUAACUAUGGACCCGAAGGUCUACAAAGAACUACUCACGCAUCAUCGGAGAGGCACCAAUGGAAGUGGUGAACCCCUCCGUGAUGGUGUCUAGAUUGGAUUUGGUGGUUCUGGACUCUGCGGCGGCUGGAUGAAUAUUUCGACACUUGUUUUAGGGUUUCUGGAAUAUUGUGGUAUUUAUAGAGCAAAGAGGCGGUCCGGGGGCACCUGAGGUGGGCACAACCCACCAGGGCGCGCCUGGGACUCCCAGCUGCAACCAGGGCCCAUUGCCUUUCUUCUGGCCCAUAAAAAAUCAUCAUGAAGUUUCAUGGCAUUUGGACACCGUUUGAUAUUGAUUUCCUGCGAUGUGAAAAACAUGGAAAAAACAACAACUGGCACUUGGCACUAUGUCAAUAGGUUAGUAUAAAAAAAUGAUAUAAAAUGACUAUAAAAUGAUUAUAAAACAUCCAAGAUUGAUAAUAAAACAACAUGGAACAAUAAAAAAUUAUAGAUACGUUGGAGACGUAUCAGCAUCCCCAAGCUUAACUCCUACUCGUCCUCGAGUAGGUAAGUGAUAAAAACAUAAUUUUUGAUGUGGAGUGCUGUUCAUCAAGUCAUAUCAUAUUCUUUUCUUUAUAGCAUGGACAUUUGGACUUUUAUGUGAUUCAAAUCAAUAGUCUAGUUUUGACAUAAUAAUUUAGAUACUCAAGCAUAU
Molecule: long non-coding RNA, 52034 nt
Filed under: Triticum aestivum (bread wheat)
Lineage: Eukaryota; Viridiplantae; Streptophyta; Magnoliopsida; Poales; Poaceae
Description: long non-coding RNA (TAES_LNC024414)
Rfam family: MIR1120/MIR1122 microRNA precursor family (bases 7095-7228)
Source: RNAcentral